CCGUCUCUUGCAGGCAACAACGACGACCCCACCAAUAUUUCCAAAUUUGCCUCCCUUUCGUGGCUUCCAGUUUCCUCCUUACAGCGGACCUUUCCCGGAAUAUAGGUUGCCGCCAUUUCCAGGUAUUUCAAACGUCCCUCCUUCAGCACCUGGCUUUCCUGGCUCUUCAGCACCUGGCUUUCCUGGCUCUUCAGCAUCUGGCUUUCCUGGUUCCUUCCCUUCGUUCCCUGCUCCACCAACAUUGCCCAACACUACCCCUUGAAUCCACUGAAUUAAAACUAUCACCAUGAACGAUUACGCGUUCAUUUUCUAAAUAAUUAGUGCUAAAUAAAGGUUAAUGUUUGUAGGAUUUAAUCUUCUUUUUUUUUUGGGGGGGUGGAAACUUUGGCACACUUGGUUUGCUUUUGGAUCAAAUAAUCAGAGCAUAGAUUGUAGUAUUGAUUAAUGUUGUUGUUGGAUGCAUUAAAUGUGGGCUUGUUUGUAAUCUCCCUCUCUCUUGCAUUGUAGUUCUGUGUUCAUAUAAGGGAAUGAGAAUCUAUAUCUAUCCUAUUAUGUUUAAUCUUAUUAUAGUACUGUUUUAUGUUUGCUAUUUGCAUAUUUUGUUUCUAUUAAUUUAAUUGGAUAGUCGGAUGAAGCAAUUAAUUAUGAUAUUGUUAUAAACGGUUUGCAUUUUAUGGAUAGAUUCUAAUCAUAUUUAUAAAAAGAAUUACAUUUAAUACAUUAACAUAAACUGAUUGCUGGUCGUACAAUAAACCCAAUAUGGGAAACUCUAUAAAAAAGGAAAAUGCAGCAAACAAGUGUGGUGGAAAAAUUGAAAAAAAGAAAAGAAAAGCGGAGCACAAUAUAUGCCCAAUAUGCAAAAAGCGAAGAGGCACGGUAGAGCAAAGGUGCACAGUCCAAACACUUUGGUGGAAGUGGAAAACUUCAAGGGGUAGUUCUAGCAGGUGGUGGGGAGAAGGAUGGAAUGGUAGUUGGCAAAGUGGGGAUUGAAGGCAAGCUGGGCAAGGGUGGCAGGGUAGGAAUGGUAGGCAGUGGAGGAAGAGCGACGGGGUUGGGUAUAGAUGGUUGCGGCAGGGUGGGCAUCGUUGGCUGUGGGAGAUUUGGAAUCGAUGGCAACGGUGGCAAUGUUGGCAGCUGAAGAAGAUGACGCGCAGCUAGGCCAACGUUGACGCUUGAAAACGAUAAAGCCAUGAACAAUGCUAAAACAAAGCAAUUGAAAGAGGCCAUAUUCGAGAGGUUUGAAACUGAAAAAAGGAGUUGUCUUGAUAAUAUAUAUAGUUUGAGUGAGUGAGGAAGGCGACAGAGAGGCCCUGGUGUUUGGGGCUUAAAUAGGCCUUGGAACACUGGGAAUUGGGCACUCUGGUUGGAGAUAGGAAAAAGAGAGGUUAGCUCAUCUUCUCAUCUGCAUUGGACUGAAAAUUGGUGAACUACUGGUGCAUGUGGUUGGCACAGAAGCUACCUGAAUGAAGCACUGAAGUCAGCCACUUGACCAAAUCAUGGAGGUUACCAAUAAAGUCGGGUUAUCUAACAUCAGCUCAGCUCAUUGGUUCUUCUAACUUAUGUUUAUGAUUGGUACCGUAGAGAAUCAUUUAAUUAUAAUAUACAUACUAUUGAAGUUUCUACGUAUCACCGAAUGAUUAAACAGCUUUUCACCUGAAUCCUAAAGUGUAUCAAAAAACAUUGGGUUCUUCCUUUCAAGAAAAAUAAAAUAAAAUCGGACAGCAAUAUUUUAAUGAACGAAAAACUGGAAAAUAGGGAAAAAAAACAUUUCAUUAAUUUCCAAUAUUAUUCUAAUUAAUUUAUUAUUGUUAACUACUAAAAUAAAAUAACAAAAAAUAUUAUUUUUAUUAACGCUUAAUAAAAUAUUUGGUACCUGAACUUGACAUUUUUUUUUUCUAAUUUGGUAUUUAAACUUGACAUUUUUUUUUCUUACAUUGGUACUUGAUCUUUUUUUGGGUUCAAUUUGGUACUUAAACUUGACUCUUUUUCCUAAUUUGGUACCCAAUUUUUGUUUGUUCGAUUUGGUACUUGAACUUGUCAAACGUUUUACAAAUUACUCCAAUAUGCUAACAAUAUUGUUAUUUUUUUAUGAGGUAGCAAAUAUAAUCAACGUAUAAUCGAUAUGUGACAAAUGAUAUAAUAUAUAUAUUCAAUUACUUUUAGUUUUAUUUAUUUAAUUAUUUAUUUAUUAAUUGAAAAUAAUGAAUUUCUUCUAAUUUAAGUUUUUAAAACUCUUUUUUUCUUAUUUAAUAGUAAUUUAUUAAUCAUAGCUCAAUACCUAUUUUUGUAACAUGAAUUUCCUCUGAUGAUACUGACAAUACUUUUGUAGCAUAACAAAAGAAAAACAUCGUUGGUGUUUUGCGUAAUUUGUAUAACAUUUAAUAAAUUUAGGUACCAAAUUAAACCUAAAAACAAGCUUAGCUACCAAAUUAGGAAAAAAAUGUCAAGUUCAAGUAUCAAUUUGGACCCAAAAAAAUUUAGAUACCAAAUUAAAAAAAAAGUGUUAGGUUCAAAAUUCAAAUAUCAAAUUGAAAAAAAAAAGUACCAAAUUAAAAAAAAAAGGAAGAAGCUAUUCAGAUACUAAAUGUUAUAUUAAGUUUUUAUUUAUUAAUUAUUAUCUUCAAAAUUUUCAAAAAUAAAAUUGAAUGGAAAAUUUUAGUGGUAAAGCUUAAUUAACAUAAUGAAAAAAAAGUGAAUUAAAUAUUAAUUUAUUUUUUGCACAUUUGAAAUUUAACCCCUAGGAAAUUAGUUUCUCUAUAUUUUAUAUUUAAAAAUGAAAAUUUAAUUGUUGACAGAAUUAAAAUUCUUCUAUUAAAUUUAGGUUUAUUGUAACCAUUUUUUUGUUAUAUGAUUACGAAAUAUUUCUUUCAUUUAAAAAUGUCACACUAACAAAUUUAACAAAUCUGAAUUUAAAAAUCUGAAAAAUAGAAAAACUAAAUUCCUAAAAAUAAAAUGUAAAAUUUAAUUCUAAAUAUACGAAAAGUAGGAGAACUUGAAAAAUAUUUUAAACUAUUUUUAUUGAAUAAGCAUAUUUUAAACCAGGUUAACACCAUAUCUUAAGGGUAAGGUCUCAUCCACCAUUGGUGAAAAACACUCAGUACUACUGAGUUAGUAAUUAUAAUAAAGUUUUAGAUUCGAACUCAAUCUAAUUCGAUUUAUGAAUAAAUUUACUCGCUAUCUUUCUAAGUUAGAUAUAAUAUACAUAGAUUUUAAAUUAUUAUUUUUUCAUUGGCUUUCCAAAUCCCCCUUUAAUCCUGUUUUGAGAUCUGGUUCAGCUUUGGAAGAUGAAGAUAUAGCUACUCAUUUGUCUCCAUUAUCUUGUCUAUCUUUAGUUUUUUUUUUUUAUUCUUUUUCUCUCAGCAGCUAAACUUGUUUAUCACUGCUUUUAGUAAUGGUUAAUCACAGUUUCUAAUUUCUCAUUUUUACAAAAAGUUAGUGAGAAGAAUGAAUAUCAAAAGGGAUUAACAGAAGUACCAAUAAAAGUGGAAUAAAACAUAAAUAAAUAAUCCCAUAAUAAGCAACAACAAUGAAUAAACUAAAAGUACAACUCCCAAUUUUACAGACAAACAUAUAAUGGUAGAUGAAAAGUAAAAAAAAAGAAAAGAAAAAUCAGACUUAAUCUAUAACAUCAAACACAAACAGCUAAUAAGUGGGUAUAAAUGAUAGGACCAUAAAACAUAAAAUCCAAUCCGUAGGCAUCCAGAGUUAAGGCAGAAGAUUCAUGGAGUAGACGGUGCAGGUGGCGGGGAGAGGAAUGGGAUAGAAGGGAUCGUACUUGGGAUUGUGGGAAAGCUUGGUAAUGGUGGCAAAGUGGCCCUUGGUACAUUCGGCAAAGUGGGCAUGUUAGGCAUGGCGGGGAGUGGAGGCAUCGCGCCUGGCCUCGGCAAAGAUGGUUGAGUCGUUGGCAAUGUUGGUAUCGUUGGCAUUGGCAGAUUUGGGAUCGCUGGCAAUGGAGGUAACUGAGGCAGUUGCAGAAGAUGACGGGCUCCAAACCCAACAUCAAAGCUUGCAAAUGACAAAGCCAGGACAAAGGUCAAGAACAUGUAAUUGAAAGAAGCCAUUUUUUGUGUAUGUGAGAGGAUUCACUGAAGAGAUUUGUGAUGGUUGGAGUGAAGAAAAGAAGGCCUGGUGGGGGGGAUUAUAUAAGUUUAAUGCAGGAGGGUUGGGAUGUCUGGUUGGUAAGAUUUGGUUCAGGUUGUGAUUUAUGGUUGGGAAAAUGUGGAAAACUUAAUUAUUUUGCAUGUCUUUGUUAGAUUAACUCCAAAUCCAUCUUCUUCUGAGAAUUGUCAAAUUUAGUUGCAAUGAGUCACCAAAGUGUAAUAUAUUAUUAUAUCAAUUAUGGACGGAGUCAAAUUGUUCUUUGAUUUGUUUAAUAAGAAACUAGUUUUGGAUCCCUUCUGGGUUUAAACAAAGGCUAAUUUCUCUGUUGUUUGCCUCGUAGAUUAUGUUCUAGCUUGAUUUUUUGGAUCGAUAUUUAUAAAAAAUAUUAUUGGUAAAAGUAUCAUAGAUGGCUUUGUAUUAGGAGUUUGAUUGCAUUUUAUCCCAUUUAUUAAAAAAAUAAACAAAUUAGUCCUUAUACGUUAAAUUAAAGAGUAAACUAGUCCUCUCGGUUAGAAUUUUCAUCUAUUUAUACAAUUAAAAGCUAACGUGGUUGACGGAAUAACCAGAUAGUUAUACUUGGCUUGCCACAAGUACCUCAUGUCGACGUACAAGAACUAGUUAUUAACAGUAAAAAUGAAUGAAGUUUUUAACAGAAUGACCAUUUUGUUUUUUAAUCUAAUAUAAAUGGAUUAAUUUGCUCAUUUUUUUGUAAUCCAACUCUUAAUGUAAGGGCCUCCAUACUACUUUUACCAAAUAUUAUUGCAUUUUAUUUUAAAUAACUAUUUUCAUUUUGGUAUAUCCAUAACUAUCCUAAUCCAUUUUAAGUUUUGAGUUUGAUCUUGUUUAGGGUAUGUGGUAUUUAUGUAAAAUCCUCCCAAAAAUGAUGAGUCCAAAAUUCGAACUGAAUCCAAAUGUCUAGGAAAAAUAUCACUGCCACUUUUUCGAACUAUUUAUCGAUAAAUAAUUAUUUGUAUCUAAUCUUGUGCAUAAACUUAUAUAAUGAUAGUAUGCCAUACAUUAUACCUAGUUAAAACGUUUUAAAAAUAUAUAAAUAAUUAAAAUUUUUAAUUACUAACUUUAAAGUUUAAAUCCUUGACUCAGUUGGCGCUACGAGUUAAUUAGGCACCAAUUCAAUUGGAAAAGAAUUAAAAUAUUUGUAUAUGUACAAAAUAAGUUGUAUUAUUACGAGGAUAUACUUUUAUUUUUGGUAAAUUACACCCAAUGUCACUAAAAUGCUAGUAAGUUUAUAUUUUGGUUACUCAACUUCAAAAAAUUACAAAAAUGGUCAUUGAACUAUUUAAAAAUUUUCAUUUAAGUCAUUGGGUUAUUAAAAUUGUUGCUAUAUGGCCUUAUCUAUUUGCACUACCUGCAACAAUCAAAAGCUUUCCUUCUCCUUAUCUUCUACAAUUCAAUUCUUUUUCGUUGAGACAAUUUUGAACAUUAGGAAUCUGUUCAUCAAAUUCUAAACACUUUCUUCUCUGAUCUCUAACACUGAUCGUCAAAUUGACUAGGAUAUAAGGUAUGUUAUUCUACUCGUCAAUGGGUACUGAUCCACCAUACCAGUUGUUGAAUUGUCACUUAGAGUUCACUAGUUAAACUCGUUAUAAAAAAAAUUAACAUCCCAGUAACUUAAAUAAAAACUUUUGAAUAGUAAAAUGACUUAAAUGAAAACAUUCAAAUAGUUUACUGACCAUUUUGCAACUUUUUGAAUUUGAGUGACCAAAACGUAAACUUAUUAAUAGUUUAAUGACCUAGGGUGUAGUUUACCCUUUAUUUUUUUAUUAUUUUUUAAUACAAAUAAUAACAAAUUCUAAUAUGGUGAAAUUUGAACUCAUGAACCAAUUUUUAUAAAACCGCAAUUUUUACCACUUCAACCAAAAUUUUAUUUCAAUUAUUUUUAUAAAUUUUAAUAUUUUUCACUCAAAUUGAUUGUAUAUAGACAUAGUCGUGUGGUGGUGUGAGUGUGGUCGUGUGGGCCACACGGGCGUAUGGGUUUUGGGCCAAGCCAUGUAGGCCACACGGGUGAGGCCAAUCUGGGCGUGUGGGCCCACACAGGCAUGUGGGCCUAUAAUUCUGAAAUUUUUCCUAGAGUCGCACGAGUCAUUCUGAUCGACUGUGGGCCAACCGUAGGGUCGGUAAAGGCUAGUCAAACCCUAGAUUAUGUGAUAUGAUAUCCUGAUAGUUUGCUCUGAGUAGGACACUGUUAUGCAUGUCUAAUUAUUCUGCUAUAUAUAUGAUAUCUGUAUGCGAGCAUGUUAAGCAUGAUAUUUCUGAAUUCGUAAUCUGUAAUUAUGUUUGGGGUGUGAAUUGUAUAUGUGGAGGAAGUAUUCUGUAUGGCGACCUUCGCCUAUAUUCUGGCAACUUGGCUGCAUAUUAUCUGAUAUGUGUCAUACCGACACAACAUGGUGUGUAGGAAUUGGUGGGUGUUUUUUUAACCCCACAUGAUGUGAUGGGAUGGUCGGAGUUGGUGUGUAGAAGAUGGGGGUAGAAUUUUGUAUAUCUGUUCUGCAUAUCUGAUUCUGUUAUUUGUAUCUGUAAAAGACAUAGAUCCGAAUCUGAAUCUGACCGUAUAUGUGAUUUCUGUAUGAAUAGCAUGUCUAUUUCUGUUGGGUGCACUCUGAAUUUACGAAAAACUCACAUUUGUUUGUCUGUUUUGUUCAAGUAAUCCACGGACUUAAGCGGAUCGGUGUGACAGAGCCUCUCGGUGACCACGAGUUCGUAAACGGUUUAAGAUUAAGGUUAAUUUUAAUUUAAGGUUUAUUUUGGAAGUUUUGUAAUAAUUGGACUCUCCGGACUAUUUAUUUUAAUUUUGGGAUUUGAAUUUUUGUUUUAACACUGUAUUUGCGACGGUUAUCUAAACGUGGUUUACUAAAACAAGGUUUUCUGAAAAUACGAACGGGAUUUUUAAAAUUUAAACGGUUUCUAAAACUUCCACUAUAAAGAAUACUUUGGCAAAUGGAUUAAUUAGAUAAGCAUCAGGCAAUAGUUGUAAAAUUUGGACGAUUUGCCGAACAACUUUACAAAGUUUUGUCGAAAUAUCACUGUUUUCAAAACCCUUCUUUGUGACAUCUUCGGAUUCGAUCAUAAUGUUUAGGCCGGGUCUGGGGUGUUACACUCACUUCGUUUUUAGCUACAAUAGGAGCAGUUCAAUACGAAACAAUGUCAUUUAUCCAUUUUAAUACUAAAACUAAUAAAAACAAGCUUAAAUAUGCAUGGUUAAUCAAGUUAGCAACUUAAGUUUUCUAGUCCGAAAUUCGCAUAUCUUUCGACUCGAUUAUACGUUUCCAAUUCCGUCUUCACUAGAGUACUCACUGCUUCACAAGCUAUCAUUUAGCACCAAUAUUACACAAAGUGGCCAAUGUUCUCUACUUCCUCUUUAACAUGGUCAAAUAUACCAAGUAAACUUUCCAUCCAUUUUUAUUUCUUUUUCACACUUCUAACAAGCUAGAAUUCAUCUUCUAAUCAUUUCCUAUCCAAAAAUAUACCUAUUUCACUUAAUUUUUCUAAGCUUCCAUCAAUGUUCUUUAAUGGCAACUUUCAAAAUACUUGAUAAAAUAAAAAAACUAUUGGUAUAUAUAUGUAAAACAAACUUCAAAGAUUCAAAAUCUAGAAAAAAAUUGAAGAAAAAUCAUACCUUAUACUUGAAAUUGAAGGAAAAUAAUGGAAGCAAUUUUUUUCUUUCCCCCAUUUUUUUGGAGUGAAAAAGAAAGAAAGAUGAGAAAGAUGAACAUAUUUCUCUCUUUUUCACUUAUUAUAAUAUUAAUUAAUAAAAUAUUAUUACUUAAUAAAAAAUCAUUUAAAAGUGAUCAUGAAACCAUUGAUUUUUUGAAGUAAUGGUAAAAUUGUCAUUAAGUCUUUUCCAUCAAAAUAAAAAUAAGAUAAUUACACUUUAGUCUCUAAAAUUUUCUAACUUAUUCAAUUUAAUCCCUGAACUCGAUACUGGAUUCUUGACUUAACUACAUGCUCCUACUAAUAAUCCUCUGUGUUUUCAUGCCUGACUGUUUCCUCUAAAAACGAUCACAAUUUCUUAUACUACUAUUUAUUUAUAAAUCACUUACUCAAAAACUUCUACCAUAAAUAUUCUUCUUCUCUCGUUUUGUUUUUUUAAAGUGGGACUUUUAAUUAGAUCAAAAUGAGUUAGAAACCACUUUAAAACAAAAGCUUAGCUAAGUAAUAUGAGAUCUACCAUUUUCAAGCCAAGAAUCAACUUAAAAUCAAGUGAUCUAUUGGAAUCUUGAUUAAAUCAUUUAAAUCUCAAAUUGAAAUAAAGUUUAAUCAUAAAAAGUUAGAAGCUCACCUCGAUUUUGUAAAAUCAACGAGCUAUUGACCUAAUUCGAGCUAAAACAUAUGAAGAUCUUUUGAGGAUUUAAGGAUGAAAAUGUGAUUAAUCUUUGAAAUUGAAUGAGGAUUUUGUGUUUGGAAAGCUUGAAAAUAAAAAAGAAUGAACUAAUUUCGGGAGAAAAGCAUUAAUUUGGUGUUUGGCAAAAUUGUUUAAAGAGAUGUAGAAGGGAGGGAAGGAGAUGGUAGGUCAUUUAUAUAACCAACCAAAUUUUAAAAAUUGGGCUUUUUCCCAUUUGACCACCUACAGUUUCCUCCCUUUUUCCAAAUUGGUCAUUGUUUUUCAAUUAUAACCAAUUUCAAAUCUAUUUUCAAAUCAAAUCUCGUUUUUAAAAUCUAUUUUAACCAAAUUAAUUCCCGAGCUCUUAAUUUUAACCUCUUAACCUAAAAUCUUUAAUUUUAAUUAUUUUAAUAUUUUAUAUAAUUAUGCCUAAUUAUUUAAUUAUCUAACUUAAUUACUGUUUCCAGUUCACUAACCCAAUUCUAUUAAUCUAAUUUUUAGGAUGUGACAACUAAACAUUUUCACAUGAUCAUCAUUUCAAAUACCAAUAUGACAUCAAGCAAAGUUCACCAAAUGACCAAAACAUAAUUGCCAAUUCAUAUCAAAACAUGACACAACCUUGAAGCUUAAAAUUACAUACCAUUUUAACAUUUAUGUGACCAUUUCAAAUCACAAACUUAUAAAUACACAUUUAUAACCAAAACGCCUAUUUACAUGCCACUAUUAACCUAUCCCAAAAUGAUAAAAAAAAAAUCUACCGAGUCAAUGAACAGAUAAUGUGAACUCCAACUUGAUUCCAGGCGACUACAUAAUUUUUUAUGAUCUACAAGAAAACAAACAAAAUGGACAUAAGCAUACAUAAUGCUUUGUAAGUUCGUGCAGAAUUUAACAUGACUUACCCAAAUUUAACAUAACUUAAUUAUUGAACAUACAAUUAUAUAAUUAAGAACCAUGAUAUUCUUUGAUGGCUUAUGUAAACCACAUACCCAAUAAGGUUAGUUUCCUCACAAUUGAGACAUAAAACAUUUUCAUUCUUAUGCAUCACACACAAGUAAGCAUACUUAAUACACAUUUCACCAUUCACAAACAACAAAAUCAUACUAUCAUUUCCAUUCCGUAUGUCUCGUUUUUACCCGAUAAACUAUAUAGCGAAAUUAUGUUGAAUACUCGGGAUAGAAAUGCUUACACGAAUUAUGGGUCGAGAUGGUAACAUUACACACAGUUGCUCAUACGAGCUGUGAAGAUUCUGCAGCAAAUGCAAGACCUUAGCCAUCAAUAAAACAUUCAAGACCAGCACUCAAAACUGUAAUAACCUUAAUGAUAUGUUAUUCGUACCCUAGUUGUUCAUUAAGUUCAUAAGGAUCUCAAUUUAUAUCCAUAUCAAUCAGACCUUUGAACAUCAUCAUAUGCACAUGAAUGCAACUAUAUACAUUCCCUUUUUCAAUUUCAAACAUCAAUUAUACCAACUUUUACAAUUUAGUCCUUCCAAUAAUCAAAACUAUUUUUUCAAAGAUAUUCAAUUACAAGUUAUAUAUAAGUAAGCAUAUCAAACCAAAAAAGUAAUUAUAAAUCAGUUUAAUUAUUAUAUGAACUUACCUAAUAAAAAACAACAACAAACAUGACACUAAGGGAAAGUUAGCAAUUUUUUCUUUUCCACGUUUAUCUAUCGAUUGAUCCGUUUCUUGAUUUAUAUAAUGAUUUAAAUCAAUAAACAAUUCCCAAUGCCUUAUAAUGUCUAAAUAUAUGCAUAUGACCCUUUAAUAACAUUUAAAAAUAUUUCAUUAAACUUUUACCUUUAAUUCAAUUUAGUCCCUAAAAUCAAAAGUUACAUAUUUUUCACAAUUAACCCCAAGACCUUAGAGCCAACUUUAAUAUCAUCCCAUAACAGUUCCCAAUCAACUAAAUUUAUAGGAAAUUCAUGUCAAAUUUCAACAUAUUAACAUUUUAGUCCUUAUACUCAAAACUAUCCAAAUUCACUUUACAAAUUAGUUUUAUUUCAACACCAAGCUUCAAGCUUAACCAUUAACAUCCAAAAGGAUUUAAGAAAAACAAUGGUAACUUUUCAAAUUUAUAGUAUUUUUACAAAAUAGUCCAUGAGUUAGUUAGAUUAAGCUACAACGAUCUCAAAAACAUAAAAUUUACUAAAAACGAUCUUAGAUUUAACUUACAUGCAAUGACCAAAACUUUAAGGUGGCUUGAAAGUUUUUCUUCUUCCUUAAAUUAUGGUUUUUUUUCGGAGGAAAAGAAAAUGAAAAAGAUGACAUGUUUUGUUUUGUUUUAUUAUAUUAUAUUUUAACUUUACUUUUGACUAAUAAAAAUCUAAGCCCUAACCGUACGUGCCAUUAAAUUAUGGUAUAUUUACCACAUAAACCCUUAUACAUUUACUAUUCAAACCUUUUAACUAAUAAAAAUCAAUAUCGAUUAACUUAUACGACUUUUACGAUUUAAUCCUUUUUCCUUAAUUGACCAACCAAACAUCAAAAUCAUUGGAUCAAACUUUAAUAUGGCACUCUAUUAGACUCGUAAAUAUUAAUUAGUAACAUCUAAGGACCCACUCAUCAGAAUUGUGGUCCUGAAACUACUACUUUCGACACCACUGAAAAACUGGUUGUUACAAGCAUAGUUAAUGCCUCCAGUUAGUAGCUAAAUCAUAUCUUUUGAGAGCAAAACUUUUUAUAUAUAAAGAUAUGAUAUUUUAUAUGAAUCAACACUUGUACGCAUCAUGUCAAUAAGUUGUGAUAAGUACUCCCAUUACAAUUGGCAUUUGGUUAGUAGCCAAAUACAACCCAUUUUAGAAUUUUUGAAUGUACAAUAUAUGUUUAAGUUGCUCCAUCAUAAUGAUGCGAUCCCGGUCGCAUCAUGUUACGACACAACUCGAUGCUACCGAGAUUGGUCCAAACUCGAGGGGCCCAAGUGCAAAAUGAAGCUUUUAAUUUUAGUUUGGUAAUUUGGCUGCGGGAAAAUACGGACUUUGAUUCAUUAAUUUUUAGUUAUUUUAGUUUGUGUUUUUAAUUAUGUCAUAGUUUACACAUCAUUAAUAUGUGUUCUGCAUUUAAUAAAGUCAUGCAUUAUGUAACUUUCAUGUUAGUUAAUUUUUGCAUCAUUAAAUUAAGUCAAAUUAGUUUAAUUAUGUAACUUUCAUGUUAGUUAAAUUUGCAUUUCAAAAUCAUGCAUUUAAGCAUCUUAGUUUAAUAAAUGAGUUGCUGAACAUUUAUUCAACUCAUCUUAGUUUUAAUUAAUAAGUGUUUUUGUUUAACUUUAUUUAAUAAGUGUUGUUCUUAAUUAAUCUAGUUCCUAGGAUUAUUUAUUGAUGCAUGAGUUAAGUUCAUUUAAUUAUGCUUCUUUAAUUAAACUAGUUGCUGGAAUAAUUAUUGCAUAUAUGUUUUAGUUUAUUUAUUUAAGUAAGUUUAGUGUGAGUUAUGAUUAAUAAGUGUUUUCAUGUGUUUAAUAAACUCAUUUUAAUGUGUUUAUUGCAGGUGACUUUUUAGCUUAUAGUGGUUACAAUUCAAGGCUGUUACACAUUUAAUUAAGUGGCUGUUCAAGUUCUUUUGAGUUACAAUUAAAGGGGUUGUUAUAAAGGGAGCUUAAAAAUCAUUAAAGGAGUUUUUAAAGAGCAUUUUAUGCCCUUUAAAAUUCAGCAGCAACUCUUCCACUUCCAGCCGUUUUUGGAGCUUUCAAGAGAAAUUAAUCAAGCCUUUGAAUGUCAUUAAGGAGCAGGUUAAGAGAUGGUGACUAUUCAACUAGCCAAGGACAACUCAAGAGUCAUUUUCUAAGCCAUUAAAGACAUUCAAAUCAGCUGAAUUAAAGUGAUUUUAUGGAAGGAGUUAUUUGGUUCAAAGAAUAAGAAAAGACAUCAGUUUUUUUAUGGCACAUUAAGUGGAUGUUUUUGACCAUUCAGUUACCUUGUUCUAGCAUUAUAAAUAGAUGUAAUCAGCCAUAGAGGGAAGAACUUUUUGCUGAAUAUAGAUGAAAUAUUUGAAUUGUGAGCUAUCCAAUUCUCUUUGUUCUUUCGGAAUUGAUUUGACUUAUCAAGCAUAGCUUGUGGCGUCCAUCUAUUCUUUGUUGCUGAACUUAUCACCUUUGGUGUGGCGUUCAAUAUACCUUUGGUUCCCAUCAUAGUUGAUAGUGGGUCAAGGUUCCUUGCUGUUUCCUUUAACCGAAAAACAACUGAAGACCAUUUUGAGAUUCGGGUCAACAAUUCGUUAUUGUUGGUUCAUUUUUUUUGGUCUUAGCCAUUUAAUUUGUUAUUGUUUCCUAUCUAUUUUAUUCAUUACCUUUGUUUGAAGUCAUUAACUCUAUUUUGUUACUUUUAAACCGAAACAAUUCUAUUCUACUCAAUUCACGAUCGAGCAUCACUAACGACUCGAAUCAAUCACGAAAUGAGUUCGUAUCACAUAAUGUUGGGAAUAUAUAUAUUAAUUAUGAAUGUUAUUAAAUGUUUUAAAUGAAUUGGAGAUUCAAUUAUGACGUGAUUUGUGAUUACUAUUUAAUUUGAUAGUUUUUCCAACAUUAGGGGGAGAUAAAUAAUAGAUGGAUAAAUAAAUCACUUUAUUGCAAAUUAAUUGCCAGAUGCAAUUACUAACCUGAUGAGAAUAAGCAAGUGUUAUAAAUCGGCUAACGUCUUUAUUUGAAUUGAAGUCCCAGUAGGACAAUGUGUUCAAAUGAAAGUAAUGUGUGCCUGAAGCAUGGUAGAUUAAUUGGUUCCAAAGGUGAAAAUUCCCGUAGAAAAAAAUAAUAAAUCAAGAUGGUUUUAUAUUGGAGGUGAUGAUCCAAAAGAGUCCUAAGAUAUAACUAAUUAUUAAAACUCCGGAAGAGAUUUAGAUGCCUAAAAUUGAAGAUGGAAAUAGUGAAAAUAAAAAGAUAUCGAUAAGUAAUGUCAAUACGAAAAAAUAUAGAAUCGUGAAAAAUAGAAAGUUGUCGGCAACAAUUUUGUAUGCAAUAGUAUUGUUGAAAUUAUGAAAGAAAAUGAGGAUCUUGAAUAAAACUGUUAAAAAUUAUAGACAUGGAAUUGAUUAGCCCAAAUAAAAUGACGCAAUUUAAGUAGAAUUAAAUUUGGGAAGCUUUUGGACCAGUCGUCCAAAUAACUAAAGGUAUAAAGCGAGUGAGGGUACAAAUGAAGUAGUUUUGCGAAAACAAAGAAGAAUUACAAAGUUUUUUAGUAAGUCUUAGCAUUGAUUAUGAAAAAAUAUUCUUUUGUGGUGGAUGCAAUAACAUUGAGGUAUCUUAUUAGUAUGGCAAUUUAUGAAAAACUUGACAUGCGUCUAAUAAUUGUUGUUACAAUAUUUUAUAUGAAUCAUUAUAUAGUAAAGUUUAUAUUAAAAUCCUUGAAGGAUUUAGAAAGCUAAAAGCAUAUAAAAAAUUCAUGAGAAAUUGUUUAAUAUGUUUGCAUAAAUAUUUAUAUAAAUUGAAAUGAUUUGAACACGUGGUAAAUUCAACUCGGUGAAUAAUAGCUGAAGGAAGAUUAUAAAAUGAUCCAAAAUCCACGUAUAUAUUUUUAUAAAAGGGCCAUGAUUAAAGUUUGUUGAUUAUUGUUGGAACUCCUAAUGAUAUCAAAAUAUUUUUCCCCAAAAUUAUUCCUCACGCAUAACCUUCAGAAGAAUGAUGAUAUAAAUAUUUAAUAAAUUAGUUCAAGCUAUUAUUUGAAAAUCUAGUAUUCAAGAUUGAAAUACGUAGAAUUUAAGAUAUCAUGUGAUGUUGUCAUGAGGGGGACUAAAUAUGAGCUACUCUUUUUCUCUUAACCAAAGUUUUGUCCCAUUGGACUUUCUUGGUAAGGGUUUUUAAUGGAACGACAUAUUAUGCGUAUUAUAGAUAUCUGUACUUUUUUUUCCUUCACUAGAAAUUUUUUUCACAUAGUUUUUAUCUUAGUAUGGUUUUAACCAGAUACAUUAUCUACCAAAAGACACCCAAGGAGGAGUGUUAUGGAUAUUUUAUUAUUAAGUGGAUGUUCAUCAAGGUCAAGAUAAAUUUGAUGUACUUUAGGACUUCAAUAGUCAUUAGAAGUAAAAUUUUAUUUCAUUUAUACUUCUUAUUUUUAUAAAUAUAGACUUUGGAGACACAUUCUCGUUGAUGAAUAAAAGAACAUUCUCUUUUGCUAUUUAUAUUUCUAUUUAAUAAAAAAUAAGUUUAUUUCAUGUUCAUUUGCAUUUUUUAUGCUUUUAAAUAUAUAUUUUUCUAUUUUUCAAUGCUAGUUUCAAAUCUGAUAUUUUUUUAAUUAUUAUUAGUUUAUAUUUUAAAAUUUUUCUAGGUGUUUCUUAAUUCAUGCUUAUGUAAUGAUUAUAUUUUAUUUUAAUAUAUAUUAAAGAUUGAUUUCCACAUCACUCAUGAGAUAAUUUAAAGAAUAAUUUACAAGUUCACUCAAAUGAUAUUUUAAUACCUUUACUAAAAAAAAUUUAAAAAUUACAUUAUUAAUUAUUUUAUUUUAUUUUUCAAAAAUUAUAUUUAAAGACGAUGGUCGACAUCUUGAGAAUAUCAAGAGGCCAUCUUAUUUGAUGCGGAUAAAGGUGUUUAUAGAUCAGGCUAGGUCAAGUUUGAGUCGAAUUUAAGUAUGAUAUUAAUAUAUUUUAUACUUACUCAAGUUUAACUUAACUAGAAAUACGGGCCUAAAAUUCUUCCCAAGCCCGUCUAUGCUUAUAAAUGGUUAAUCUAAAUUAAUUUUAUGACUGCUCAUAUUAUUUUUAAAAAGAAUUAAAAAAAUAUAUUUAUAUUAUUCUUAAUUUAAUAUUUAAUAAAUUUAAAUAUUUUUAUUUAUUAAAAUUUUAGAUAUACUCAUCUUAACAUUUUUUAGUAUUUACAUUAUAACAAUAUUAUACAUUUAAUUUUUAUGUGUUAUAAAUUACAUGAUAUAUAAAAAUAAUAUAAUAAAAAAAUUAUAAAUUCUUAGAAAAAGGUCCAGCUUGGUCGGGAUCGAGCUGGACCCAUAUUUUAAACGAAAUGAAUUUUUUGCCCAACUCCAAAUUUUAUAGGUCUAAUAUUUUUGCACAAACCCUCUCAAGUCCAAGUAUUUAAAUCCUUUUAAAUUUAUAAAAGAUAUUACGUUUUUAUUUAUAAGUAGUUUAAAAUUAAUAUAAAAUAAUAAUAAACAAAAAAGUUUAAUGCUUUUAAUUUACUUAAAUAAAGAAGUUUUGUUCUAUUACAUCUCUUUUUAAUUUGUCAUAUUGGUACCUCUAAACUAUUUAGCUAAGAAAAUAUAAAUUCAAAAAUUAGAAAUUUGAAGAGUUGGAAAGAAAUUCAGUUUUAAAGAGAGAUGUUUUUGGGUCUUGUUUAAAAGAAAAUUGCUUUAGAUUUUGCUCGAUUUGAUGAUUCUUGGAAAUUCAAAAUCAAGUUUUAAAUGCUAUUGGAUUGUUGCACACCGGAGAUAAAAUUGAACUCUGGGCAGCUCUUGAAGCCACCUUUGGAUCAAUCAACUCUCUAAACUAUUGUAAAGUGUUUUUCUCAAAAUUUUCAGAUCUUAUUUUCGAGUUUGAAAUUUAUGGAUACACGAACUUUUUUCAGAGAGCUUUUGAUAGGUAAUAAUUUAUGAUUAUAAUUACAGUUAAUCAUAAUAUCCCCAAUUAUCGAUAAAAGAAAUUCUAGCUUAAUGUUUUCUUGGAUUUACUGGAUUUGUAUAUGUAUUAAUAUCCAAUUAUCAGUGUUUUUCCCUAAAUAUUUAUAUGGUUUUAUUACGUUGGGUUGAUUGUGUUGUUGCCGUGAACAGGCAUGAGGGAGGUGAUAGCUGAUUUGGAGUACUUUUAUUUGGACUACUUAGUUGCAGGUUUCUGUUGGUACCUUCUCCAGGCUAUGGACAUCGUUGCUGAGGAACUAAUGUUCUUCUUCCAGCCGCUGCUGCCCCUCUUUCACGGCUUUGCUCGUUCCUUGUUUUGCCUCGUCUUUAUUUGCUUUGAUUCUUGAUUUGUUUCACUAUAUAGUUUGAUGAUUAAACCCAGAUUAUUUUAUAAUAAUCCCGAUACGAAUGUAAUCUUUCAAAUAUAAAUUUAAUUUUUGGAUUUUUUUUUAAAGCCAAAGAGAACUUCAGUUGAGCCAAUUAGGUCUUAUUUAUGGAACAACUACAUAAACAAAACUAGUAACAGUAAUAUAAACUCUUUCAGACUGAAAUCCCUACGCCACUUAAUACAGUACUCAAUCUUCGAGCGACGGUCGGUGUUGAGUCAGCCCAGAAUGAAGAAGGCUUCAUAUUACCAUAAUUGACGGUCAGAAAGAGCUUUCAAGCUGGUGAAAGAUGUAAUCAAGAAUUGUUCUGGAUCCAUGAAUUACAGACGUAAACUGGCAUCUUUAACAUAUGUAUCCCGCACAUAUUCAGGCAUAGAUAUGGAACUAUAUGAAAAUUUUGGAAAAGUAAUUGAACAUACUAUAUUCAACAUCAAAGCAGCAAUAAAGAGGCAGAAAGGGAAGAGGAGAAGCAAUACAUUAUUAUCACACUUAACGAUUAUUCUGACUCGAAAGAGAAAGAGAAUCAAUGAGAAAGAUUAUCACCUAUAUUCCUUUUGACUGCCAAGUAUGAAGAUGGAGGCAAUCUUCAAACCAAAAAUGCCUCAUGGUUUUAUGUGUUCAACUUUCUACCCUAUCCUCUCAAACAGCCUGUUCAAAACAAUGACAAAACAUGAUGCUACGAUAUAUACUGUCGAAUUCAACUUGGAAACAACUAUGAAACGAGAUCCCAAGUAGCUCCACAAGCAUACAAUUACAUUAACUACAAUAGUCGCUGAAAAAAGACAACAUAAAACAAGGAUCUUACUUCACUAUGCAGCCCUGAUUUUAUCGUCCCCCACCAACUGCGAGCAUAUGUAAGCUACUCAAAAACUCUUCAAGACCCUCAACAUAUCCACUAUUUGUCACCCCUCUUUUGCUCGGCUCGGCUUCCGGCACCAUCGAUACACCUCUGCCAUUGCCGUUCACUCUCUCACUCCUUUGCGUCUUAGCGUUUCUCACCACAGAUCCUUCCCCUUUGGCUUUCUUCUUCCUCCUCUCCUUCUGCCACUUAUCAUCAUCAUCAUCAUUAUUAGUAUCCUCAGCAGAAGAAAUUUCUAUAUAUAUAUCAUCUUCAUCGUAAAACACUCUUGGGGCAGAUUUCUGGGCACUAGUUUGUUUACCUGCAUUCUUGUUGUUAGGGCAAGCAAACAUGGUUGAAACAGGUGACCAACGGGGGAAAUUACCGCCCAUGUUCUCACCAUUCCCCGAAAAUCCUAAUGGGAAAAACCCCAUAGUACACAAAUACGUUUCCUUUCCGUCCACAGGCGGCGGCGACGGAAUCACAACCGCAUGGAAGGCUCUCCUGCAGUUCUCAGCCUGACACCUCAGUGUGCAAUCCUCGUAAACCUUUGGAUACUCGUAGAGAACGUAACAGUACGGACAAGCCGUCCAGAAAGUCAAUGACUCUGAGUCGGGGGGUUUACUAGGCCGAGUCGAAUCGGUCUUCCAGGUCACAUCGGUUGUGUCUGUCUCACUAUGCUCCGUAGAAGGAGGAGUUGCCUGAUUAAUUUGACCCAUCCGAGUCGACUCGGUCUGAUCAAACUGACUGGAGGUAGCGUUUCCUGACUGAUCCAUUUGGCUCAUCGGAAUAGGCCCAAGACGAUUAAUCCAUGGGAGGAUUAGUGUGUUUGAAACUAAUUGAUCCUGUCUGUCCCAGCGAAACCGAUUUGAUUAAAUCUCCCUCCACCAAGGCGACACAGAGGGUGGGGCGAGUUGACUCGGGCAGAUUGGUAUUUAAACUGAAUUGCCCUCCUUGUAAUGUGGCAUAUCCAUCUCCGCUACUGCUUCUUACCACGGAUAGUGGUUGCGCAACUUGCGGUUGAGUUCCUUUGGGCAGAGGUGGCAGCAUCUGCGUUUGCAGUGCUUAAACUGGGGUUGUUGUUGUUGAUUGAGUUGACUCAGGUGUCCAAACUGAAAGAAUCUCAUCUCCUUCUUCGAAGGACAGGACAACACAUUCCAAGCUUCGGAAAGGAAAGAGAGCCGCAGGAUUCAAAGGGGGGGCGAGUUUCCUGUACUGAGUUGUUACGACUUCCAUGGAUUGAGUUAACGGAACCGAACCAAUCAACAAAACGAUUGAGUUAAAGGAACCGAACCAAUCAACAAAAAAGGAAAGAAACGUGGCUUUUUAUAUAAAUAAUAAUAAAAUUAAUUAAUUAUGAAAAAUAUUUACGAAAAAAGAAUGUUUGCUACCAUACCCGCGGGUGCCGCCUGACAUGUCGGCAACAUCACUUCCCUUUUUUCAGUCAAUCAUCUUUUAAUCAUCAUCGUUUAAAAAAAAUUUUGUGUCGCCAUCAUGUCAAGCGACACCUAUAUAUAUAUUUAAACAUAUCCAUGAAAAUAUGAGUAUUCACAAUGAAAAAAAUAUUUUUUUAAUGGUGUCAUCACGCUGUCAAGGUGAUGCGGUCGCGGCUAACCAUCCCUAAAGUUUGUUGUACAACGCACCUCAAUCUCCAUGCAACUGCUUAUUGGUCAUCUUCUUAAUCCACCAUGCUUUCCAAUAUGACAUUCAGUACUGGAAUUGUGCUUGCAUGUCGACAAUCAAGACCGAUACAAUAAUUGUGGGCAUGUUAUUCACCAAUGUCAUGAUGCAAUUACAAAUAGUUUUUGUAUUAAGUUUGCGAUGGCCUUGCGUCAUACGUGCAAAAGUGCAUGUAUGACACCCAACAAAUUUUCGGAUCUCCCACAAUUGCAACAUCUGGAUAAAUGCAUCUAGUAACCACCAGUUGCACCUUUCUACCGACCUCCAACACUCCCCAACAUAUAAUGUCGAUUUAGAUACAACGAUUUUUUAGUCGACCGACACCUUCAUGCUAUAUUGUUUGAUGGAAAAUAUGCAGUCUUCAUUGGUUGUGAAUUAUUGGCCUACAAACAACUCUUCUAAGUCCAAAACUGCUAGCAACCAAUGAAAAGAUAUUAUAUCUGGGUACUCAAGAAACUCGGAUGUAUGUGCCACAUCAAGAUCUACGCUCAACAUGUGGGCCCAAGGUCAUUGCAUAUUACAAUGCUACAGGUCUGGUUCUUGACCGAAGGGGCGUAUACAUUUUCAUCAUUGUCUGUGCCUUUAUCGUCGAUAUCAUCCGAGACCUUAUCCAGAUCGGGGUCACCAAAAUCUUCACCCUCAUUAUCAAAACGACCAUCAUUACCGAGUCAUUCUCUAUCAUUUGCAUCUGUCUCAAUUACCGUCGGAUGCAUCUGUAAAUGGGGACCCGAAUUAGCGUUGUUAUACGCAGUCGGAGCAUGGUGUGGAUUUUCGACUAGUGUCGAUGUUGCUUCAUAACCGCACUAUUCUGCCCUUCUAAUAUUCUAAUUGAAGUCAAACCCAUGUACAAAUGAUCGCCUAUCGAUAGACACUCUCGGAGCCUCCAUACACGGGUCUUGAACUCCAUGUUAUUAACUUAGUGGAGUGACAUUUUGAACGGGCUCUACAUCUUCUAACUCAACCAAUAGCUCAACUAGUUCAACGUUCACGUUCCCAGUCAAGCAAUAAAGUGUGAUAAUUGUCUCCAUGUCUUCAUCAUCUACAAGUUUCAUCUUAGUAUAUUUGCAUAGAUUUGACAAAUUUGGAAAUUUGUAAAAUAGUCUUGACAUCCACCUCCCACAACGUUGAGUAAUUUUUGCAAUAAUCUUUUCUUUCAUAUCUUUGAAUUUUACAUUCUUAUUAAGCAUCAUCAUUAUUUGCUAGUAAGAUUCAAAUAUAUAACCAACAAUUUCUUGUAAAAUUACCCCCUCAAACUAAACAUAUAUGAAAAAUUGGUUAUUCAGCUUCGAUACUAAAUUUAUAAAAUAAUUUAAAAAUAAAAAAAUAGCUUUUAUUUAAAAAAUAUUAGACCCUACUGAAAAAAAUAUAAUUACAUAUAAAUAAUUAUAAACUAACCUUAUAAACUCGAACUUGAUUUUUGAAGUUUAAAACACAAAUAUUCUUUUCUUUUUCUGGUUUCUCCUAUUCUACUGAACACAAAUCUUUCCUCUCUUUUUUCUUCCAUUCAAUAGAAACCAAAAAGUUCAACAAAAACCCAAAACUUCAACAGAAAUAGAUUUUUGGUUGGGGGUCGGGUAUAUAUACUAGGUGGUGCUGCCUGACAGCGUCGUAGGACCACCAGUGUCUCUUGACAUGUUGGCGGCACCACUAAUAAAUUAAUUUUUUCGGUUUCCCUUUUUUUCCUGACAACAUUUAUUAAAAAAUUGUAUCGAUGUCGCCUGACACAUCGACGACACCCAUUAAUUUUUUUAAAAAAAAUAUUAGUGGUGUUACCUGACCCACUGACGACACCCAUUAAAAAAAAUUUGCUAGUCUUAGCUUUUUUUUUUACACCAAUUUUUUUUAAAUUAUCAACACCUGACUCACCGUGAUCGUAUCACCCUAUCAGACCAAUGACACUUAGUAUGUUUUUGCAUGUGCAUUGGGGUGAGAUAUGAUUAUGUGAUGGAGAAAGUUUGUUCUGGCAGUUUAUCUGCGCUUUAUGAUUUUGGUAGAAUUUUCGCAAUAUGCUUCUGGCAGCAUUGCUGUAUAUUAUCUGAUCGGCAUACGACCACAUUAUGGUGUGAUAGAUGGAUGAGUUCUUUAAGCCUUAUUUGGUGUGAUUGGUUGGAUGGAGUUCGUGUGUAGUGGAUGAAGAUAAGAAUUUCUGUAUGACAUCUCUAUGCUAAGCAUGUUAUAAUUUAUGAUCCGUCUAUUUUGAUAUAUGCAUCUAUGCAUGAUUUCACUAUUUGCUUGUGGGCCAAGACACACACUAAGCUUUAUAAGUCAUCUUGUUUACUUAAUCUUUUCAGGUAACACCUAGACUUAGGAUUUGGUGGCACUCGACAGCUCGGUUCAGUUAUUACGUAUAAAACUUAUCUAGUAAUUCUUAUUUUAAAAUUCAUGGACUUUUUGAUCAUUGGACGGUUUUGCGGAUUUUAAUGGUGGUUUUCAGGAUUUGCUAAAUAUUUUAAUUAGUUAUAUUAAGAUUUGGCAAGUUUUCUUAAAAAGCUAAAACUUAGCAUUCGAUUUUCAUGCCUAAACAAGUCUAAGAAAAUUUCCUUUGCAAAAUUUUAACCAGGAAUAUGCAUUUUUACAAAAACAAGUAAAUAAAGUUGAUAGCAGUGUUGAUUUAUUAAUAUAACUUUCAAGAUUCGGCUAUAACGUGUAGACCGGAUUUAGGGUGUCUUACUAAAUUUUUUUUCUAAAAUUACAAUAAAAAUAAAUCUUACUUUUAAUGAAAUAUAAUUAUUUAAUUCAUGUACAAGAUAUAAAAUUAUUCACAAUUAUACAAUAUAUAAAAUAAAAUUAUAAAAUUUAUCCCGCAAUGUAGUGGAAGCAUUCCUCAAAUAAUAAUAAUAAUAAUGCAAGUACGACCUUUGUUUCUUCGAAGUAAAAACUAAUAACCCUCGAAUUAAGAGUCGAUUCCAUGAGGAAGCUACUCAUAAAAUAGAUGUUUUGAAGAUAUGAUUUUUAUAUAAAAUUACGAGAAUAAAAAGAAAAAUAAUAAAAUUAAGCUUUGUUCUUAUCAAUUUGACUGGUUAUUUUUACAGUUUUUAUCAUACCAUUACAAUAAAGUAAAUGCAAGAUGAGGGCGUUAGAGACAAGACUCAGUACGAGGGUACAACAGAGUCUCAAAUUUUCUGACAAAUGUUCCAUCUCUCUCCAGCAUCGUCAAUCAAUCUGUACGAAAAACCAAAACUCCACCACACACACAUAUUUUAUAUAUAAAGGAUAAAAAUCUAAUCCCAGUUUUCUUUUUGGGAUAAAAAAAUCUAACCCAGUUGCAAAAAACAAACCACUUGAUAUUUACAAUUUAUCCAUAGAGACCAAUAUGGCAAAAUAUUUGCAAAGCCAGUCCUUGUUUGGACACAAAAGGAAUCUUUCUAUAUUUUCCUUCUUCCAUUUCUUUCAAUAAUUUAGUAGCUUUUUAUUUUUAUCUCUUUCUGUCAAGUGUCACCACCACCAUUCUCAUCACUCAACCCCCACCCCCCUCCAAAAAAAAAGAAAAUUAAUAUGAGAAAAACCCAUAAAUUCUGACCAAUCAAAAUCCCCCACCUUCUUCCAUUUUUCAUCCUACAAUGAGGUUGGGUAGGGUUGGGAGGCUUUUUUCUCUCUUUGGCAACUAGGGUUUUGCUUCAAUGUUUUCUUCCUGAUGUCAUUUUAUUUUCUUUAGUAUCGGUUUUUUUUUAGAUAAGAGUAUUUGAUUCUACUGGCUUACUUUGGAAAGCCAAAAAAGCAAAAGAAGAAAAAAAAAACCCAGUUGCACAGCUAAUCUCUUGAUCCUACUACUGUUUCUUAUCUGUUUGCUGCUUCACAACAGAGAUUCUCUUCUACACAAUUUUCUUGGUACUUAAAACUUUCUUUUCUCCUGUAUUUUGCUUGAUUUAAGGUGAGAAACUGAGAUCUAUCAAUUUACAUACAUAUGUAUAUUGGGUUUGAUUUCUUGUGACUAAACCCCAUUUUGUUAAUGUGCUUGUUAGUAGCAAUUAGCAUAGGGUUCAAAUUUUGAUUCCUUUGAACACAUGUGUUUCUUUAACAAACCGAUUGCUGUUGUUUGCUUGUUUUUUGUGGAGUGGAAAGAGAAUGACGAGACAAAGGAUAGAGAUCAAGAAGAUCGCCAACACAGCGGCACGACAGGUGACAUUCUCAAAGAGGAGAAGAGGACUUUUCAAGAAAGCUCACGAGCUUUCCACUCUUUGCGAUGCCGAGAUAGCUCUUAUAGUCUUCUCAGCCACCGGCAAGCUCUUCAAAUAUUCCAGCACCAGGUUACUUAUCGGUAGCUCUUCCCUUUCAUCUCCCAUACAUACCUUAUCUCUGCUGCUUCUCCAUUUGGUUGUUUGGUAACUGUGAGAUUAAUUUGAUUUGAAACAAGAUCUGCCAAAUCAAGAGAACUGUACAAGAAUCUAAAUUCAUAAUGACCAAUGUACUUGAAUCUUAUAUUUUUCUUUUCAAAAAUUAAAAAAAGAAAAAAAACUUCUUUUAAUAAUCCAUGUCAGAAGCUGGGUGGGGGACUUAGGGUUGGGUGAUAGUUUCAUCAAAUUCUUUGUCUAAUCAAUCUUUGUAAAUUUCUAGUUGGUACUUGACUGAUGCUUUCCAUGAACGAAACCUUAGGUUUUCAUAAAAUAUUAGGGCUCCUAAUCACCAAUCCUAUACAUGAAUAUCUACAACAAUAUUACAAUGAUUUAUGUUCCAUAUGUUGUAAUAAGCGUAUGCAUUUCUACUAUUUUAGGUAAAUCGACAUGAAUCCUGUCUUGUUUUGGUGUGUUGGCUUAUCUAUGAAUAAAUGUUGUUUAUUAUCUCUUUUUUAGUAAAAUUUUAUUUUGAUUAACCAAAUUAUCCAUAUAUAUAUAUAUAUAUAUACAUAAAUUUUAUGUUUAUUUAACAAUAAGAAUUUGUUGAACUUCAAGCUCUGACCUAUUAAUAUAGAGUUCACCUUUCCUAGGAAUAUCAUGAAUAGCAUGGUUCAAUUCAUCAUUGUGUAAAAAAAACAAGAAUUCAUCUAUUAAUAUAAUAUCAAUUUAUGAAUCCUAAAAUACAUAAUUAAGUUUAAAAGCAGACAUAUAUUAAGAAAAUGUGACAACAAAUAAGAUAUGAUCAAAUCUUUCAAUAACAAUAUUUUUUUUUGGGAAAAGAUCCGCUUAUAAUGAUGUAAAACUAGUUUUAUACUCUUUCAUAAUUUCUUUUAUUGUUGAUAUUUUAACAGUCCGACUAUCAUAUUUCAUGCAUGUCAAGUUUGUAGUAAAUAAAAUUGUUUUAACUAUUUGUUUUGUUUUAAAAAAAUUCAAUCGUUAACUAUUUAUUAAUUCAUAGACAAUAUUUUUUAUCGAUAUGAUAGAUAUACCGGAUCGAUUCAAAAUUUUACAUGCAUGAAAAAUUCAAUUAUAUUGAUAAAUUCAUCGAUUGGAUGGUUAAAAUAUUAAGAGUUAAUAAAGUAAUGAAAUUGUUCCAACUUAUUGAUUUUCAUUAACUAACCCUAGAUCCUUGCCCCUAAAAAAUGGAUGUUUCUCUUCUAGCUCCAUCCUGUACUAUUUACAUUACAACACAACAAAAAGACGAAUGAUAAUAUAACAAAGGAUGUUAAGCAAAAAGCACCUUCAUUUCUACAUAACGGAAAGUGGUGGGUUAAAAGAAUGUAAAAUCAUGUUAUUUUUACAUCGUUGUAAGUGGACUCCAUCCCAUUCCAUCCUUUAUAAAUUCAUUUCUUUAGUUUGUUGUAGAUCUAAAUAUUUUUACCCUUUAUAACACAUUUCAACCUAUAAGAGCAACAUGCAUAAAUUAUGAAGUAUACCCAUUACUAAACUAGUUCUUUGUAAGAGCCUCUUCUCCCAAAAUUAAUUUUAAUCCUAAGUGGAAUAAAAAUGAUAAAUUUUAUUAAAGAUAUGAUUUAAAUCUCCCUAAUUAAUAUUAUUAAUAUAUAUUGUAGUCUUUACUCAAAAUUUAAAAAAGUCAAAUAUGAUUUAAAUCUAAGUCCUAAGCUUUAAGCCCUAAACCCUAAACUCUAAACCCUUCCCCCUCAUACUAAGACUAUAGAAUGUUCUUGUGAAUUAUGGCCAAUACCAGGUAUAUAAGCAGUGAUUUCAAACCCACAGGUUAAUCGUACUCUGGCAACUUUACGUAAGGCAGAGUUUGGUUUAUUGGGGGUGAUAGUGAAAAAGUUGACAGAUAAGUCACCUUUACUGCCACUCUAUAGAACCGUACAUGAGGUUUUCACCUCAUAUAGCUCCUCGCUCAAUUCUUUCGAAGUCAUUGGGUCCUUUUCCUCGUUCGAGAAUCUCCUCCCUUCUUCCACUCUGUCCCGAAGAGUAACUAGGACAAAUUCAGUCACGUUUUCAUGUUCCAAUUGAACACUUUCCAUUUUUGAUUAUUCUCAAAAGAGAAGAUUUUUUUUACCAAACAUCUGCGGAUCCAAUCACACGAUCUUAUAAUAAGAACAAGAGAUCUUUCUCGAUCAAUCCCUUUCCCCUCAUUCUUCGAGAAUCAGAAAGAUCCUUUUCAAGUUUGAAUUUGUUCAUUUGGAAUCUGGGUUCUUCUACUUCAUUUUUAUUUGCUUAUUUAUUAUUUUUAUUAUUUUUCCCCCUCUUUUUUUAAUUUCUUUUUUUUAUUUUAUUCCCUUCCAUCAUUCCCUAAGUCCCAUAGGUUUGAUCCUAUAGAAUUUGACCCAUUUUCUCAUUGAGCGAGGGGUACGAACUAAAUCAAAUUGAUUUUUCGAUCAAAAAUAUGAUUAUGGGUAUAUAACAACUACCUCAUUAUAAUAGUAAAAAUCUUUAUAGAUAAAUAAAGCUUUUUAUAGAAAAGAUCAGUUCUACGUAAACCCUCAAUUUUAAAUGUAAAUAUAUAUAAUCCAACAUCUUUAUUAUUAUUGGUAUCCCCCAAAAUCUAUAAGCUUUUACAUUAUGAAAUGGAAAGGAAACAAUAAUCUAACAAACUCAAAAGGAGAGAAGGAGCAAAAGGAGAAUGAAAGAUUUUUUUGAAGUGGGUUGAGAGUGAAAAUGAACCAUGGUAUGUAUAAAAGUUGUAUUGGCUAAAAAUAACACAGAUAAGUGGAUUGAAUUAGUUAAAAAUAGUUUGAAAAUGAUUCAAUGAAUUUAGACUUGACUAAAUAUAAAUGCUACUAGUUAAGAAGUUUACUUGUCUCUCAAAAAUUCAUUAAAAAAGAAAUUCAAAAACAAAAUGACUCAAAUGUAAAUUACACUAACUUUUGGGGCCUAAUGCGCAAAUUCACCUUUAUCAAUUUGGUUAUUACUAGCCCAAUGAAAUAUAAGGACUUAUAAACAAUGGUCUCAAAUUUUUUUUUUUUUAGAAAUGUGAGAUUCAUUCUUUUGAAAUAUCUCAAAUUUUCAACACCAGUUAACUGAUAUUUAUAUAGUAAUUAAAGGAUUUUCUUUUAUAAAUUAUAAGGAAAAAAUUUUUAUUUUUGCAUUUAAUGCAAUUUUUUUACUAAAUUCAAGAAAAAAAAGUUGAUUAACAAUAAUUUUCUUCCCAUAAAUAUCAUCUUGAGAAAAAGAGAUGCUAACAAAAUGAUAUUAAAGGAAGAUAAUGUGCAAUCAAUGAUUUUUUUUUGUGUGUUAAGUAAAAACAAUGCAUUCAAUGCAUAUAACCUUUCUAAAUUAGUCCUAUGUUCAAGAUUUGAUAUUUCUCUGUUAAUUCUCUCCUUUUUUUUUUUUAUGAAUUUAGCUUUUAUUUGUUUGAAUUCAAUUUAAUGUUGGGGUUGAUGUUGGUAGUUUCCCAUUGCUUAUGGUCUUUUCAUUAGUUUACAAAGACUAGAAAUUUAGUUGCUAUUGAAAAAUUGGUGGCUCCCAUGUGAAGAUUACAAAUAUUAAUGGUUGAAUACUUUAUGGUAGUUUCUAUAUGAAAAAUCCAAGUUAAUAGCUUAGAACCCAAAGUCAAAAUAAACAUGAAUUCCAUAGUUUUAACUAAAUCUAUUCUUAAUCUUUAAAAAUAUGCAUUCAAAAAUGGAAAGAAAAAAAAAAAAAACUCUUAGAUCGAUUUGAGGGAACAGGAGUGUUAAGGGUGAUCAUCCAAGUCCAAUAGUGGUGUAUAAAUUGGAUUAUAUUAUAUAGGAUUUUCUUAACUUGUGUUUAAGGUCAUUUUAUUAUUAAUUUGAUUCUAUAUAUUUUUUAGGUUUAAUACAUUACUUGAUUGAACUUUGAUAAAACCUAAUUGUUGAAUUACAAUUUACAUUAUGGCCCAGUAUGAGGCAGGUGAUUGAAAGGCGCCGUUUGCAGUCAGAAAGGAUUGAUGGAUUGGAGGGCGCUCCAUCUGUUGAGCUGCAGGUUACAACUUCUGUUUUUUCUCUUAUUGUUUGUAUUGCACGUACAGAUUUAUGGGAAAUUAUCUGUUUUUAUUUAUAAUAAUUACAAGGUAAAUGCAUUCCGAUGAUCAUGAGAUGGAUUAAGCACAACUAAGAACCCCUUUUAAGAUCUUGAACUUCUUGUGUAACUAGUGCUGCCUGUAUGAAACAUUAGAUCCUUGAAAAGGCCACAUUUUUUAUCCUAUCUGCCUGGAAACCGAACCGCAUUUUAAUGAAGUUGUGAACUGGUUUGUUUUAGCUGGAGAGUGCUACUCAUUCCGUGUUGAGUAAGGAAAUUGCAGAAAAGACCCAAGAACUGAGGUAAAUCCGAGUAUUUAUUACUGUGAUAUAUGAGGUUGUCAAUGCCAUAAUGAUAUUUUGGCAUGGUUUCGUUGAUAGACAGCUAAGGGGAGAAGACCUCCACGGACUAAACCUAGACCAGCUGAAACAACUAGAGAAAUUAGUCCAAGGUGGCUUGAGCCAAAUUUCAGAAACAAAGGUGUUUUCUUCAAGCCCCAUACUCAUCUUUGCUUUUUCAAGUUUUAUUAUUUUCCUUAGUUGAGUCAGUGGAAAAGCAUUCAUGUUUCAGGAUGAGCGAUUUUUGAAAGAGAUCAGCACCCUGGAGAAGAAGGUGAUUGAUAUAUAAAUGGCUAACUUAUAAGAAAUGGUCAAAAGCCAUGCAUGCAUUCAAAGAUUUUAAUGGCAAAAACAUCCUUUUUUACUUAACUGUUUGUUUAUACCUUGAAGGGAGCAGAACUGAAGGAAGAAAACCUGAUAUUGAAACAGCAAGUGAGUGUGUUACACCAUAUCUUGUUUCUUGGUUUCAAUACAUUUUCAUUUGACAGCCAAGUUAAUUUUGGGUAGGUGGAGAAAUUACCGCUUGUGGUCAAAGGCCAACCAUCAGAGCCAUUUCCCCAUCUUCACAAAUCUGGAGACCCCCCUCCUCCUCCUCAAGGGUAUAACACCUCUGAUAUUUCACUCACCUUGGGGUAAGCUCUCAUAUAUACUUUGUAAACUCUUUUAUCUUUUCCUACACAUUAAAACAUGGAUAUAAAAUAUGAUUUUCGAUAACAACUUUUAAGAAAAAAAAAUGCAAGUACGUGUGGUAUAUUGCUAAUAUCUGCUAUAGCCCGGCCUGAGUGCAUCAACCAAUGCCCUUUUGCAGGUUACCUUUCCCUAGCUGAUAGAAAGGUUAGCGGGGAUGUUGUGAAGAAAUGCUCCUCAUCUUUGCAUAAAAUCGUAUCUUUAAAGCUCAUCUAUACGAGUAAAUUUACAACCUGGCUCCUCUAUGUUAAAUGUAUCUAUAUAUCUAUAGGCUGAAGAUAACCAUUUAAUUAUCAAGUUCAUUGAUGUUUACGAAAACAAAAGAAAAAGGUAUUGCAAUAAAACUGACUUUUAUAUGCAAGAAAAAAUCGGCUAUCUGAUACUAUCCACUGCCAUCCCUGCAAGUAGAGAAAGGGUAUAAAUAGAUGCUAAGUGUAUGAUCAAAGUAGGGAUCGACGAGUUGGAAAGAGCUGUGGAGGCUAACUCCAGCAUUGCAGGAGCUCGAUGCAAUUAUCACAUUUCUUAAAAUUCUUUAUUUAUAAAGACAUGUCCGUAAGUGGAGAAAUUUCAGAGAUUUAUUUCCAUCACACUUGUUCGUAUACAACGUAGUGAAUACUACAAUAGUAAUAGAUAAAUGAAGAGAGCACAUUUCAAUUGGUGUUAGGAAUUUCUCUGGGUUUUAUCAGUAUUGGGUCAAGUCUUGGUUUGAGGCUAUAAUGAGCAUGAGUGAAAUAUAGUAAAUUACCUUUUGAGUAAAGUUUUGCAUCUUUAUAAAAAAAGAUACCAGCAACUCAACACUAAUAUUAUCAAGUCUGCUUUCUGCCUUGGAAGUUUCUGCUUUGUAGGGCAAAGAUGAAGCAUUCAAAGGAUGAUCUCUGUUAAUAAUCAUCUCUCAUUAUAUAAAAUUAUUAAUUAAUUUAAUUUUUUUAUUUUAAAUGCAUAUUUUUAGUAUUAAUGUUUUCUACAUCAAUUUUAUUUUAUUCAUUACAUUGAUAAUAUUUAAUUUAAUGUAGGGAAAACACAGAGAAAACGAUGAUGCCUAAAUUCUAAAACCCAAUAUUAUAAUUAAAUUUAACUAUUUUAGUUGAUAAUGUUAAUACAUAUCUCGUGCAUAAUCCACCGAAAGAGCUACUAACGGAAAUGGAGGAGGAUAGGAAAUAUUUUGAAAGUUAAAAACAGUUAUUUUAACAUUGUCAUUAUAUUGGAAAUAUUUUUAAUUAAUAUGUUUAAAAUUUUAAAUUUAAAUUGUUUUUAAAUAUGUUUUGUACAUUAAAAUUUUUAAAUAUUAUUUAUAUAAACAUUUUAAUUAUUUUAAAAAAAACUAAUAUCUAUUUAAAACAUCAUUAUAAAAAUUAAAAAAUUGUUUUGAUUGAUACAUCUAAUCAGCUCAUGCAUCGCAUUGGAUAUUCAAACUAGUUUUCUCAAUAUAGAAAUAUUAUCCAAACUAAAAACUUAAUAUUGCAUAAAUAAUUAUUUUAAGAUCUUUAAAAUAAUAUAAUUUUUAAAAAUAUAAAGAAUUAUUUGAUGCAAAUUAGAAUCGCAAUAAAUUGAUUCCUCCUCCACAUUUUCCCUUUGUUAUACAAACUUUAAGUUGUGGAGGUUAUAAAUUUUUGUGUGUAACUUUAAUAGGGAACGGGAGGCUAACCUUAAUAGAUAGAGGAAUAAUUAAUUUGUUGAAAAAAUUGUUUAUGAAAACGGUUUUAUGGUGUAGCAAAACUUUAAAACAUUUUCCUAAAAUUGGAUUUCCACUAAAUUUAGAACUUGUAUUUUUGAGCUAGCGAGUCUUGUCAAAUUCUGAAUCUAACGACUAAACCCUUCUAGCUUUUGACUAAAUGAUUUUCUUCGUUAUUCUCGAACUUUUAAAUGAUAAGAGAGCGAGUUCUUAUUAAGAACCGAAAACAAAAUGAAAAGUUUCAACCUUUUAACGGGGAAAGAUAACUUUCUUUAUGGGGAAACUAAAAUUGAAAAUAUAAUGUUGAUGAUCUAGUCAUGUUGUCCAUAUAUAAUGUGCAAGGUGCAUGUAAUAAUUUUAUAUAUUGAGGCUCUUGUUCAUAUAUGUGGCAUUCACUUGUGUCACGGGGUUAGAACUUUAGUCUUGUAAUCUAUGCGACUUUAGGCAAUUUCUUUGUUUCAAACGCGCCUAAGUCAGCCUAAGUCAAAUUCUCUAAGGCACUAGAAAUAUAGCGGAAGCAUAAUGAAACAAAAAGAGCAACACGAGAACUAAAAAGUCAUAGGAAAACAAUGCACACCAAAUGUUUGAAUAAAUGCUCUCAAUAUAUUAUUAACCCAAGAAUAACUAAAUACAAUGAGAUGAAUACAAAUGAAAGGGGAGACCUCUAUUUAUAGUUGAGCUCUCCCAAAAUCAACUGUACAAAUUAAUGGGCUUCUUCAUGGGUUCCACGAAUCAAGCCAGUUUAAGCAGGUCAAAUAUGUCCCAUUUAAUAAGUUGGUCUGUGUGCAAUGGUAACGGGUUUUGAUCCGUGGCCCAUGACACUUGCACUUAUUUGGCCGAAAGUGUCACAAGGGGUACAUUGGUCACUUGGGGAUGAGAGGUUGACUAGUUUUUGUUGGAUACAUGGAUGGUUGGUUUUGGGUCAUUAAACACUAGUAUAGUGGAGCAAGGCCUUUGGAGGAUAUUGCGGUUGUUAGAGGCAUGGCUACAAGAUCUGGUGAGUGGGACUGGGAGAAGCUCUUCGGUUUAAUACCACAGUUCUUGCUGAAUAAAAUUGCAGGUAUAAUGUCGCCCUUGGACGGUACAAGUAUUGACAGGUUGGCAUGGAAUUAGAGCGAUGCUGGUGGAUUCUCAGUGGCUCGAACGUAUGAGGGGAUCGUUGGCACUAACUGGGGAUAUUCUAACCUAGUUUGGCAACUCAUUUGGAGAUGCCAAACACCUCAACGUGUUCAUAGUUUCUUAUGGCUGGAUUAUCGAGAUGGCCUUUUGACAAAUGGUGAAUGCUGGACGAGGGAUCACGGACGAUGCAUGUUGCAAUUGUUGUGGAGAGUUGCUGGAGGCAAUCCUUCAUGUUCUCCAUGAUUGUGUCUACGCUAAAAAUGUGUGGAAUUCAUUGCUAACGAGUAAUGUUCGAUGCUGGUUUUUUCAACUACCAUUAAAUGAGAGGAUUGUCAAGAAUAUUCAAGAAGCCUUCCAUCUCAGUUUUGUUGGUAUAAAGUGGAGUAUGUACUAUUCGAUCAUUAUUUAACUACCAUGGAAACAACAAAAUAAUUUUAAUUUUCAAGGCUCUCGUAGUAGCACAGAGGAGCUGAUUCGUACCAAUCUCUUAUGGGUGAGAAGUAUAUAUAAUGCUCAGCGGCGGGGGGUGCAAUUCAUAUGGGGAUGUCUGCUAAUGCAAAUUGGGAAGCACCUGAGGAGGGUUGGAUGAAACUCAAUACUGAUGUUGCUGUAGACAGAAGUAAAUGGCAUGCAGGUAUUGCUGGUUUAUUCUAAAACGCAAGAGGAGAAUGGGCGUUGGGAUAUGCUCGACACUUGGGGGAUGUAUCAGUCUUUCAGGCAGAGGCUAGAGGAAUUCUUACAGCUAGCAUGGAACCAGGGGUACAGGAAAAUUGUUGUUGAGAAUGACAAUGCCUUACACAUUGAGACAAUUGUAGUGGUGUGACAAGUAACAAUGAUUUUGCAAAGCUAAGACAGAUAUAGAAAGCUUGUGACUAGGAUUGGCAGCUAAGUUUUCGGCACGUCGAACGAGAGGCAAAUACUUUGUGCGGACAAGUUGGCUAAUUUGGGGAAGUUACUAAUUAUGGACCUUGUUAUCUAAUUUGGGGAAGUUACUAAUUUUAGGAAGAGACUAUAAAGUGAUUUUCUCAUUUAGCAAGGGGCCAAGGCUCCUACCCCUUUGGCUACAUCCCUAGUUCUUCUUGAACCAAGUGUGAUUUUUUUUUUAGUAUCAUGUCUAAUUUACGGUCAGAAUUUGAAGUUCGUGGCUAUCCCUUUUAACAAUGAUGUUUUUAAAAUUUGAAUUUAUAUUAUUUUUUUAGGAGUACGUUUUGGUGAUAUCAUUAGCGUCGAAACCAUUUUUUUGAAAACAAAAAAUUUAGGGUUGUCGACUUCAAAAAAAAUUAAAAUUGGGAGUCGCCACCAAUCUUUUAUUGAGGUGUGAUUGGAUCACCUAAAAAACGGCUUUGGUCUACGAGUUUUAAAAAAAAACGGGUCCGGGAGUCAGUUACGUACAAGGAAGGAUUAGCACCCUUGUAACGCCCAAAAUUGGUACCUAAUUAAUUAAUUAGUGUCUUAAGGUCGAAAAAAAUAUAAUCUUUAAAACACUUAAAACGUUACGUAUUAAGACCCUUCUCAAUUCAGAGAAGCAAAAAUGUCACACCCAAUGCGUUAGGCCACAACAUUCUAAUUUCCUCCAAAAUGAAUUAGGUCAGAAUACUCGUAUAAUGAAAAAAAUUAAAAGAAUAUCCAUUUAUCCAAGAUUUAAGAAAUCGCGACCCAAUACGUUAGGGCACAAUUCCUUUAGAAUCCCAAACUCGAAUAUUCCUUUAUUAUUUUUAGANNNNNNNNNNNNNNNNNNNNNNNNNNNNNNNNNNNNNNNNNNNNNNNNNNNNNNNNNNNNNNNNNNNNNNNNNNNNNNNNNNNNNNNNNNNNNNNNNNNNNNNNNNNNNNNNNNNNNNNNNNNNNNNNNNNNNNNNNNNNNNNNNNNNNNNNNNNNNNNNNNNNNNNNNNNNNNNNNNNNNNNNNNNNNNNNNNNNNNNNNNNNNNNNNNNNNNGUAAAGAAUGAUGUGAUGCUAUAUUAAAUAUACAAUGCAAUAAUAAAUAUUACAAUGGCAUAGAAAUAAUAUAAAUAAAUGAAUAAAUAAAAUCAAUAUACAUAAUAAAAAUAAUCACAUACAAAAUAUCAAAUAAAUCAUAAAAAACAAUUCUUUUUAACAUAUAAACGAAAACAUGAAUUAAUAAUCGAAUGAAGAAAAUAAACAAAAUAUAAAGAAUAAAAGGCACAUAAUAUAUGCAUUGAAAUUAAAAGCCUUACACAUAAUUUACAUAUAUAACUUUGGAUUAAAAUUUAUAAAAGCAGAAUAUAUAAUGCAUUUGUGAAAAUAAAAUAUAAAUUAUAAAGUGUUAAAAAAUACAUAUAUUUGAGCAUUUAAAAAAAUAUAUAUAUUCAUAUAUAUAAAAAACUGGUUAAAAAUAUUAAUAUGUAUACAUACAUAUAUAUACAAAGAUAAAUAUAACAUAUAUAGAUUAUACAAAAAUAAUUAUAUACAAAUAAAAUAAAAUAAAAAUAAUUACCUCAUAUUAAAAAAUAAAUAUGCGAAAAUAUUAAUUUUUUAAAAAAAUAUAAAUACGCACAUAGAAACAAGUAUACAUAUAUAUAUAUAGCUAAAAUAAUAAUAAUUACAUAUGAAAAUAAUAAUAAUAAUUACAUUAACAAAAUUAAUUAAUUUUAAGAAAAAUAUAAAAAGGAUUAAAUUGAACUACAAGUAAACAAAUCUGUGGUAAAUAUGCAAAUAAAUAAAAUCUGGAGGACUAAAUUGAACGAGCGAAUUACAUAGAGGGGCUGGAAGGGAAAUUUUCCCUUCUCUGAAACGGUGUCGUUCAAAAGGAUUAAAUUGGAAUUUAAAAUAAAUAAAAGGGUAAAUUAAAAAAAUAAAGAAAACUUAAUUACAAAAACAUUAAAAGACGGUGGGGCUAAAUAAUAAAAUAAAAUAAAAUUCGCAGUGGUAUCACCUUCUCCCUUUUUUAAAGUCGUAAAUAAGUAAAAAAUAAUCGAAAGAAAAAAAUAGUAAGCCACCUUUAAAAAGCUGCCAAUCGUUCUUUUUUUAUUCCUCCUCCUCUUUUCUCUUUUUUUUUUCACAAUGAAGGGAGAGGCCUCUAUUUAUAGUUGAGCCUCCCCAAAUCCAACGAUACAGAUCAAUUACAUCAACGGCUGAGAUUAAAGGGAAUCUACAAAUUAAAUCUCUAAGAUUACAAAAUCAUAUAUUCUAAGAUUACAUAUCAUAUCUAAGAUUACAUAUCAUAUCUAGGAUUGCAUAUCAUAUCUAAUAUUGCAUAUCCUCAAAAUUAUGUUUUCAUAUGUGAGCCCGGGCUAAAAUUGGGUAUUACAAUUAGUAAUUGACAAAUACCGUAUAGAAAUAAAAGUAAAUAUAAAAAAGGUACACUGGAAUAUCAAAUACUUACCCCCAAGAAAAUCUUUUGUUUAAAAUUACGAAGUUAAACUGUAAAAAAUCAAAGUCAAAGAAGAUAAUGUGUUGCUUAAUGAACUUACAAAAGUGCAGUAUUUAUAAUUGUAUAAGGUAAAAUCUCUUAUCAACUAAUUGAUAAUCCCAUUCAAAUUUUAAAACAUUUUGGGUAUUCUUAACACUGCAAUCAAAUAAUUCCAAGAGAGCUGGAAAUCGGAAUGAAAGUUGGGAUUUGUGAAUUUCGAAACAUCAUUGUUUUGACUUCAGCAUUUUACCCAUGGCCGAAAAGGUCGAAUAAAAAGACCCUGUCGUUAGCGAAUCGGUAAUAAGAUAAAAUACAAGUACAAGAAAGAUUGGUCCAUAUUGAAUCCACCGCCUCUCGACUCUCCAAAUCCAAAGGCGACUCCUCCUCCAAGGAUGGGAGAAGAGAGGGUGAAAGAAGAGGCCUUGCAGCUUAUUGGGAUGUUCCAACUUCUUCCUCGUUUGGUGGUUUUCGAUCUUGAUUACACCCUCUGGCCUUUCUACUGGUUUCUUUCUUUCUUCUUCUUCUAUAUAAUUUCUGUUUUCAAAUGAGAAUACCCACAAAUUUUUGUCUUAAUUCUAUUCAUUUUAGUGCUUUGAUCUUAGUUUUAGUAUAUAUUAUAGCAACCCUUUAAUCAGAGCUUACUGUUUAUCUAUUUUUUAAUGGAACAGAGUCAAUUUUCAAAAUUCUGCUUUUUUUUUAUUAUUUUAUCACCAUUUACUAAUACUUAAAACCAACCAAAAUACUUGGGUUUUCAUGUUAGUUGUAGAAACAAUAUGACUGCCUAUUGUAAGUGUCCUUAGUUUAUGUGCCUUGCUCUUUAUUUUACAACCCAGACAAGGCAUGAAAAGAAAUGACAUUUUAUGUUGUUUUUGUUGUUGUGGAUGUUUGGAUUGGCAUGUUUUCCUGCUGAUGCUUAAAAUUUUCAGUCUGCGCCGCUCCAAACGUGAAACCCCAUCUUUGUACCCCCAUGCUAAAGGCAUAUUAUAUGCACUCAAGGACAAGAGGAUUAAUUUAGCUAUUGCUUCAAGAUCUCCGACUGCAGAUACAGCAAACACGUUUCUUGACAAAUUGAGCAUCAAAUCUAUGUUUGUUACAAAGGUGAGACUGUUAGAACUCCCCUUCUACUUGUUUAUUAGCAAGGUUGUGUUUUGAGCUGCAGUGUUUACAGGCUAAUGUAGAGUGAUGUAGCUAAAAGAUUAUCCUUGUCAAUUCAUUCAUGGGUAACCUUAUUUAUAACAAGCUGACCCAUAUGCAAAGUUGCUCUUUUGCUGCUUAUUGAUAACUGUUUGUUUCACGUUUCAAUUAUUCUGGUUUGGAUCAUUCAGGAAAUUUUUUUCAGCUGCAAGAACAAGACAGAUCAUUUCAGGAGAAUUCAGUCAAGGACUGGGAUUCCCUUCAACUCAAUGCUCUUUUUUGAUGAUGAGGAUUGGAACAUAGAAGCUGUAAGAAUGGUUUCUCCUAUAUUCUCUGCUUGCCUCUUCUUUUUUAUAUUUGGUCACUUGCUGUUAUUCUAUGGUAUUGGGUAUUUGGACCUUCUCUACCCUUUCUCUGUCAUGGUCUAUUUUGCUUGAACUCUUCUUCUUUUUUCUCUCUCUGAAACACUACAUAUUCAAAUGAGUAUGAGUAACAUAGAUAUGGCUAUUGGGGAAAUGAGGUUUGAAUUAAUGAUAAUGGCAGGCUUCCAAGAUGGGAGUGACGAGCAUAUAUGUUGAUAAUGGGGUUAAUCUGAGAGCGUUGAGACGAGGGCUAACUCAAUUCACUGAAAACCAAAAUGCAUCAGACAAGAACCAGCGGAAAUAGGAUCAUAAUGUACUCCAAAAACCCAAAUUCAUAGGGGAGAAUGGGUUAAAAAUUCAAGAUUAUUUGAAACCAGUCAUUUAUACUUAGAAAGAUUGUUCUUAUUUGCUGCAUACAAAUUACUUUAGCACUUGUGUUAGCGUUGAUAAUGGUUCCGCUCGAAAUGAUUUUGGAACAAAAUUGCAUUACCAUUUAUUAUUUUAGUUUUAAAAAAUCAAAUGGUAAAAAUAAUUGAACCGAAUUGUAUUGCUCAAAAAAAUAAAAAUAAAAUCGGUGUAGUUAAUCGAUUUUUAAAUUUUGCAUUAAAACAAAUUUUUAUACUCGUUAUUCUCAUUAAUUUAUUAUAAAAUGUUCCAUUUUAUUUCAUAAAAAUUAAAAAUAUUUAUAUAUUUUAUAUAAAAUAAAAAUUAAGAGUGUCCUAUAAGUGGGUCUCGCUCAAUAACCGACACUUCUAAUGCCAACUAUUAUGUCCUAUCUAAAGUGAUUAAUAUUGUGUUCAAUCGUCGCCUUACCUAGGGGUGUUCAAUUGGUUAACCGACCGGUUAAUCAACCCGAACUAACAUUAAUCGAAUUAACCAACCCUUUUAAACUCUUAACUGUUAACCGAACCGAAAUUUUUUCAAAAAAAAUUUAACCGAACCAAACUUUUUCGGUUAAUUCGGUUGGUUAACUGAAUUAACCAAAAUUUAUAUUUUUUUUUAUUUUUGGUUAAAACAAGUAUAAAACAUAUAAAAAAUUAACCGACUUAACCGACCGAUUAAUUUAUAUUUCCAAAAAAUUAACCGAACCGACCGAAUACUUAUAUAUUAUAAUAUUAUUUAUUAAAUUCGAUUAAUUCGGUUAGCCGACCGAUUUGGAACCGAAUUAACCGUUAACCAAACUUCCAAAAAAUUAUUAACCGGUCCCUGACCGAAUUAAUUCGAUUAACUGACCGAUUAAUCGAAUUCAAUCGGUUAACCGAAUUAAUUCAGUUUUACCCAAAAUUUGCACACCCCUAGCCUUACCUAAAACUAUGAUGGCUAACCAAUUGAUCAACUUGUCUUUGGCCGAUCUAGGGGAAGAUGACACAUGGCACCUUAAGAUCAUAGAGAAGGGUAUAUAAACCCUUAGUUCUUGCCUAGAAAAUGAUCCAUUUUCCUCUCUUCUCUCUUUUCUCUUUUCUUCCUUUCUCCCUCCUCCUUCCCCUCGACUCUAUCAAUUACCAUAGCCAGGCUACCGCACACAACAGCUCUCCGCCUUACUUUAAGCAAUAUCCUCACAGGUAAAACUCAAGACAAAACCAAUAUCAUAUCCACCUUACUUGAUUCUUAUAUCAACAAUUAGUACAGUAAGUGUGGGCCACUUUCAUUGCAAUAUUUUCCUGAUGCAACAUUCCUACUGGUCAAACUCAAGUCUAACCCAAAAUACUAAUCAAACUUAGCCAAAUCAAAACUUUGGAAGUUAUUAUUACUAUGGCACCCGACACUUUACUCGGCCGGUGGGUCUAAAAGCAAGAUGUCACCCUCUGUUGCUGGAGCAACUCAGACUAUCCUCACUUGCUUCAUUGAAGCUAAACACACAAGUGUUGAAAAAAAUCAUAAUUAUCCAUAUUGUCCAAGUGAAAUACACGUGAAAGAGGUCAAAUGGGCCCACAAGUAAUGACCUGGGGAUAUAUGUGGUCAAUUACGAAGUCAAGAUGCAAGUCUUAACUCAAAGUGUCAAAAUGGAGGGCUUUAUCUUAAUACCUUAAGGAUAGGUCUCAAUACUUGCCUCCUUUUUUUUAGAACCUCAGUUUCGAUGUUUUCAGGUCUCGAUACUUUAGUCUCAAGUCUCAAUACCUGAGAUACAACAUUUUUAAUUUAGUUUCGAUGUUUUGAGGUCUCGAGACAUGGGGUUUAUGUUUUGGUCAUAAGUGCAAAGCCCAAAGCCAAAAUAUCAUAGGGUAAACUUUAUGUUUUGGCCAUUAAACUAUUCAAAAGUUUUCAUUUAAGUUAUUAAGCUGUUAAUUGUUGAUGUAUGGCCUUCUUUUUUCGCACCACUUGCACUAAUCGAAAGCUCUCUUUCCACUUCUCUUCUACAGUUCAGUCAUUUUCUUUAAAUAACUUUGAAUGUCAUAAAUCUAUGAACCAAAAUACAAACAACUUGAAUAUACGGUAUGUUCUUUUACUUGUUAAUGUAUUUUAAUUCACCAUGCCAAUUAUAAAAUCGUGCUUAGAGUUCGCUAGCCCGACUUAGAAAAAACUUAAUAGCUGAAUGACUUAAAUAAAAAAAAUUGAAUACUUUAAUUACUUACAUGAAAAUUUUCGAAUAAUCUAAUAAUUUUAUAACAUUUUAGAAUUAAAUAGUCAAAAUGUAAAUUUAUUAAUAAAUUAAUCGCAUCAGUGUAGGUUACCGGAUAUUAUAGUUCCGGUUGCGGAUUUUAGCGGUUGGUUGGCGAGGGCGGGAUAAUUUCACCUUUGGGCCGGCGGUUAAAUUUCACUGGCACUUGUCGGUUGUCGAAUGGAACUACAGAUUCGUGACGGUUAUGCUUGCGUAUCCAUCUUGUUUUCUGAUAACUGUGUAUCCAUUUUUUAUUUCGUCGAGAUGCGGUCCGCAGACUAAAAACAGUUCUGACCGUUAGAUUUCAUCUUAUCGAACGAUCAGUAAUUGACUGUUCAUAUUUAAUUAAAAAGAUUAUCAGUGAGUGAGUCAGAGUGAUACGUUAGCUACUAUCAUUAAAAGAAAAGAAUGUUUUGAUUUCGGAGCAAUAAUUGAGGGAAUCAGAAAAUGGAGAAAACUGAUGGAAUUGGGAAAGAACAUGGAAGCACAGAAGAAAAUCAAAGUUUCAAAGAUGGAUCAAUUUGUGGGUAUAAUUCGCUUCACCACCUCUUGAGCGCAAAUCUCAAGCCUCAACUCUACCAGGUCUUUUCUUUUUCUUUUUUCCCGCUUUCCGAGUUGUAAUUUAUCUGCCUUCACUUUGUUGAUUUAAUUGGGUAUUUUUGUUUUUCUUAAUCUGGCCAUGCACUGGGCAAAAAAUUCCAAUCUUUCCUGUUAUUUUUCUUGCUUAUAUAUAUAUAUAUAUAUUGUAAAAGCAAAUUUAAUCAUGAAAAAGGAAACCCCAGUUCAAAUUGUCUAUUAUGAAUCGAUUGGUUAUUGUUAUUUUGGUCAGUUUUUGCCACUGAAAUGAUCAUUGCAGUCGAUCCUAGAAUUUGUAAACAGUUUAUCUCAUUAACAAGUAACAUGUUUUGCCUAUUAAAAGUCAAAAUCUACUGAUCUUAUUGCUGAUGAAAGUAACAAUCUUUUGGAAUUUUGUUAUGGUUUAUUAACAGGAAGUCAGCCGGUUGCUUCUGGGGCUGAAUUGCGGAAAAGCACUUGAAACUAUUGUUCCACCUGAAUCAGCUAAAGCCCUCUCUUCAAAACAUGAUUUUGAUCUUCAGGUGCCUAUUUAUUUAUCCAACAUUACUGCAUUAUAACGAUUCGUUGAUAUAGAGAUCCAUCAUCUUAGCUCAUCAAUAUUGGAAAACAAUAACCACAAGGUUGGCCUGGCUGAAAUCGUAAUACUCUUAUAAAACAAUCAAAGUGAAGGAACAAUAUAUGUUUUGGACACGUUAGAUAUACAAGGCACUACCAUGCAUUUUGACUGCAACUGAAGAUUAUGUUAAUCUUUAGGCAGGGUUAGUUAAUCUAUGUCAUAUGUUCUGAUAUUUGUAUGGAAUAUUUUUCUUCCUCCAUUUUCCGCCUUUUCCAGUUUCUAGUUCAUACAUUUGAACAUUUGGUUAUAACACUUCUAAUGUAUAAUUUUAGUACUACCAGGAUCUCCUUGAAAUAUGUUGAUUUUCAUUCAAUCCACUCUUAUCUAAGUGGUUGAAAAACAUCCCUUUUCUCAUUACAAAAUUAUUCUCUUACCGACCUGACCUGAGCAUACUUGUAGCUAUUAUCUCCGUAGAUUUUUGUUAUUAAUACAAGUAUAUUGUAGAAGGCAGUUAUAUGUGCUUUUCCAUUUCAAAUCAUUCCAGGCUUUCAAAUUUUCUGCUGACAAAGAGUUGUUAAGAGAACCCCGGGUAGUAAGGGUCGGUCUUAUUCAGAACUCCAUUGCUCUCCCAACCACUGCUCCCUUUUCAGACCAGAAAAAAGCUAUCUUUGAGAAAUUGGGACCAAUAAUUGAUGCUGCUGGUGCUUCAGGAGUCAACAUACUAUGCUUGCAGGUAUGGUCAAUUUUAUUGAUCGUUGCAUAAUAUUCUGAAAAGCAAAUUAAUGAGUCUAUGAUGCAAGUUCAGGAAGCAUGGAUGAUGCCAUUUGCCUUCUGUACACGAGAAAAGAGGUGGUGUGAAUUUGCAGAACCUGUUAACGGGGAAUCUACACAAUUUCUUCAGGAAUUUGCACUCAAGUAUAACAUGGUCAUUAUAAGCUCAAUUCUUGAGAGGGAUAUAAAUCAUGGAGAGACUCUCUGGAAUACUGCUGUUAUAAUUGGAAAUCAUGGCAACAUAAUAGGCAAGCACCGUAAGGUAAAUGCAGUAGUUUAUCUGGGUUUGGGCUUAUGUUUCUUGGAAUUUUUAUUGAUUUUGCUUAAUUGACUGGCUUCUGGCAGAACCAUAUUCCUAGAGUUGGGGACUUCAAUGAGAGCACGUAUUAUAUGGAAGGAAAUACCGGGCAUCCUGUAUUUGAGACUGCUUAUGGGAAGAUUGCUGUUAAUAUAUGUUACGGAAGGCACCAUCCUUUGAAUUGGCUAGCUUUUGGUUUGAAUGGUGCUGAGAUCGUUUUCAACCCAUCAGCCACGGUUGGUGAACUUAGUGAACCGAUGUGGCCCAUUGAGGUUAUUCUUUACCCUCAUUUCAUAUAAUACUUAACUAUCUAAAGAUUGGAUGUGAUACUGAUUUAGUAGAGAGUCAUUUAUGUAAUAUUACAAGUGCAAAUGACAUUUUGAUACAGAUGUUAGCAUUAUAUCAGUUAAUGCCUGCCUACCACUGAACUGUCUUCUACAAGUCGUUUGACAUAUUAUUCCUUUAUAUUACAGGCACGUAACGCUGCAAUAGCAAACAGUUACUUUGUUGGGUCAAUCAAUCGUGUAGGGACUGAGAUUUUCCCCAACCCAUUCACCUCAGGGGAUGGAAAGCCACCACAUCCAGAUUUUGGCCAUUUCUAUGGAUCUAGUCAUUUUUCAGCACCUGAUGCUUCCUGCACACCAUCACUCUCCCGUUAUAAGGAUGGACUGAUGAUCUCAGAUAUGGAUCUUAACCUCUGUAGGCAACUGAAAGACAAAUGGGGGUUCCGAAUGACUGCAAGAUAUGAGUUAUAUGCAGAUACGCUUGCCAGUUAUCUGAAACCAGACUUUGAACCCCAAGUCAUCUCUGAUCCCUUGUUACAUAAGAAGUCUUUUUAAGUACCUGUCUUCUUAAGUUCCAGGUACUAAUUGCAGCUUAAUGUAUGAAGUUAAUAAAUGGAGAUGAAAAUAGAAACUGUAUUGAUUUAUCAUAUUGAAUCAUCCACAAGAACAAGUUCGUUGUGUUUGUAAGUAUUUGUGCCCUUUUCUGUUUUCAAUGAGUCAGCAAUUUCUGAUCACUCCACCAGCUUCCAUUUUUAUUAAGAUGAAGAAAAAGGAAUCUUGGUGUCUGCGUUUGGUGAAAAAAUAUAAAAUGAAGUGGAAUGAAUGUCGACAAGCUCACCGACUCUCUUUUUCCCUCUUUUUUCUGUUUCUAUAAAAUCUUCCAAGUCUCAUCAUCUAAGCUUAUCCACAAUUAAAAGUAUAUACAUACAUAUAUAUAUCUACUACUUAAACAGACUUUUCAAAGCCUUUUUAGAAGCAGAGAGAUAAAGUGAGAAAGAGAGAUAAUUGUGCUUAUUAACAACAAAUACACGGCAUUAUAAUUUUGAAGGCCCACUGUGUAAGAGUAAAUGUUCAACUUAACAGUUCAUACAUACUUGAUCUCUAUCCAAAAGAAACUCGAGCUUCUAAAUUCAAGAUACGCUAUUUCAGGCUUCCUACUAGCUUAUGAACUUAUUUUAAAGCACCAAAUAAGACUUCAUUUGCAAUCUUGGCUCCCCUUUCUUUUGCCAUGUAUAGCCCUAUAUGGUGCAUCAAUUCCUGCAACAUUAAAAGCAGCAGCAUUCAAGUUAUUCUUGAUGCAUAUGGUGUGGGGAUCUCUUGUUUCCAUGUAACAAUUUGGGACAUUUUAAGAAACGAAAUACCUGAGGGUGAGGCAGAGCUCCUUUUGUGUUUGUGGCGAUGUGAAGAGGAACGUCAAAGGUUGCACAGGCACGCGAAUACACGAUAACAUCCUUGAGCGGAGCCAGAAAUCCUCGAUUCCUCACUGAUAAUGUCGAACACACGAAAUCCAGCACACAUAUAUCUGUGCACACCCCUACUACCAAUAUCUGCAACCAUCAUAAUCAUGGUUUAUAUAAACUCAUCAUAUCCAACAAUUGAUUAAACAAGCUCCACACUAGGGUUCUGAUUUGUUUUGCCACUGAAAACAAGUUCGAGGCUGCAAUGUAAAACCAUUCUUGACACUAGUAUACGCUACUAAAAUCUUCAAACGAGUUCUUACAGCUUCAAUGUGAUUGUUCUUCACCCAAUCCGCAAAAACAUUUGAACCAUCAGCUUCCAUGGAACCCAGAUACCCAUCAUAGCAAUCUUUCCGCCUGAUUGUCACGUUUGUUUCGUUUUGUAUCCAUUGCAAAGCUGCAUUUUAUUUAUUUGUUUUGCAGAAUCUUGAUUUAGAAAUUCGUUAUAUAAAGCUAAAAAGGGAGAAGUAAAUAUAUAUAUAUAUAUAUGUAGGUACCUGGAACCAAAUUAGAUUCAUCGGUGCCUUGAAUGCAGUGAGGAGGAUAAGGAUCCUCGGGCUUGUCAGGAUGAUGAGAAUCAAGAAACGCCAUAACAGGCAAUUUCUUGUCGCAGAAAAGUCUUGCCAGCCUCACUGAUUCGCUGAUCAUUCCUGAUAUUUGUCUGUUGGGUUCUCUUGGGGCCUAAAACCCAUAAUAUUAGUGCUAUAAACUUUUCCUGAUUCAAUGCACAAAGCAGAUCCUGCAUACAUCCUCUUCGACAUAUACAUGCGUGUGUAGUUUAAGGAAUCGUUUAUUACAUCACAACUUAAUCGAGUUGAUUCAACUAUUGUUUUUUUAAAGUUAGCAUCUAACAUAUGUAAAUUCGAAUACUUGUAACAAAAUAUAUAUCAAUAGUUCAAGGGUCAGGCACUUUACCAGGUUUCCAGCACCGACAGUGCAGAAGCCAUUGAUGAUAUCGACAAGAACAAGGCCAGUGACAACAUCUUCAGGCAAAACCACAAGCUCCUGCUCUAGAGGCAGCUCGUUCUUCAACACAUCAAUGGUUUGGGACACCAUUUUUCGAAAUUUAGUAACAGGUGACCUCGAAAUUACAAAACCAAAGUGAAGGAGUUUCAGUAGAGCAACUUCAGUUAUAUUGAAUUUUGAAAACGGUAGCCAUGCUAAGCUCCAAAAAGAGCCUGAAAAGUAUCUCAAUUAUUGCUGUAUUUCAAAAGAGGUUGUAUCAAAGGAUAAGACGUGGGGAUCUAUCCAAAAUAAUUUUCGAGCUUCAGUUUCAACUUUUAUCGAUUAUACUAGUUUCAGCCGUCAUGCUUGGCUACAUUUGAUUAUUAGAAGGAUACAUACGGCAUAAAUAAUUAAAUAUAGUAGGAAUAGCUUCAACUUUUUGUGCUGCUUUGGAUGAAAAGUCUUAUUUCAACAGAAAAUAUAUAUUAUGGCACAAUUUUAAAUUAAGAUUUUUUUAAGCUCAGCUGAUUCAUUCCAAUUUGAUAAAAAAAAUUUAUUUAUAGAUUCCUACAUUCAAGUUUAAGCUUCAACUUGAAUUAAAUGUCUUUUGCAUAUAAAAUUUAUAUAUUAAUUAAAGUUAAUAUAUUACUUAUACUAUUAAUAAAAUCUAUGAUUGAGUUGGUGUUACGGAUUAACUGAGUACCAACUUAGUUAUUGCGUGAUGGAUGUGAAGAAGUGAACCAUUAUCUCGGCGGUAAUGAGCCAAGCUAGUAUUUGCAGUGAACCCACCUCUUAAGUAGUCAUGCAUUAUGAAAGGAACUCUUAAUUCUCUAACACACACAGCGCUUUUGAUCAUUUCUUCAUAUGUACCUGCAGUAGGAAAUGAUUAAUAUAUCCUUUUAUUAAAGGGUUACUAUUAUUAUUUUGAUGAUUUUUUUUUAUUUUUUUCAUACUUCUGCAUAUUUUUUAAAUAAAAUAACUAAAAUUAAGAUAUUUAAUAGUUGAACACAUGUUUAAUAAAUUUAUAAACAAAUAUUUUACUACUACUACAAUAAUAAUUCAUGAUUAAAUUUUUAAAAGAUUACUUUUAACAUAAAAUGUUUUUUCUUACCAGAUUUAUGUAUCUAUACUAUUUAUAAAACCCCUGACUAAGUUGGUAUCAUGGAUUAACCGGGUACUAAUAUCAGUGAGUACUGAGCUUUCACCAAAAUUAAAACAUUGUGAUUAUUGAGUUAGUUUUCUCUUUAUAAAAAUGUUAAAAUUUAUAUAAUGAAAUUGUUAAUGUAUUUAAAUUUAUAUAAAAAUAAAAUAUGAUUAUUAUAUAAGAUGAAUGUAAGACAUUGACACCAUAUUUGGUUCGUGUGAAUAUGACCUUAUUUAGCUCGAGUUCACAAUACCAUUACUUGCUUGACUAGAUUAAUUAAAUGGCAGGAUAGGUAUCUUAUAAUAGCCAUUCAACAUUAUUACCAAAGAAUAGUUGUAGUUGGACAAAACACGUUAGCAAAUAAAAUAAAUAUAUAUAAAUAUAUAAAAAAUAAAAUAUAAAUAGAAUGAUUUAUAUUUAAUUUAUCAAAUACGAAAAACAAUCAAAACCGUAACAAAAGUUAAAAUAAAAAAGAAGAAUAGAGUUUUUACUAAACGUUGAGGCCUGUUGAAAAACAGUUUUCUUAAGACAAAUUUGGCCACUCCUACAGUACUUGGAGAAAUGUAGACAAAAUCUGCAUUAAAGGAGCAAUUGAAUCAAUUUGAUUAAAAUCAAAUCAAAUUGAUUAAAAUUAUCUCCUACUCGUAUCGAAUAGAACAUGUUGAGACAAACCUUCUUCAUGUAAAACAUGUUUGAUUUAGAUCGAGAGAAUCGUACGGUUUUAUGAAAUCAUGUGUAUAUGGAUCAAAUCCGUAGUCAAUCCUAUUUCCGAUAGGAGCAGUUGACAAUUGAAUCUAACUUUUUCCAUUAUUUUCGUAUCUGUAAUAGUGCGAAAGGAAAGUCUGGCUCCAAGUUGUUCAAGAAUAGUGGCGUUGUUAAGUUUCUCAAUCCUUUGACUUAGGAUUAGUCAGUUCUAUAUCUUGACGGGGGCAGGGAAGGGAUAUAACUUAGCGUUAGAGUGUCACCUUGAUGUGGUGGAAGUCAUCAGUUCAAGUCUGAUUAUCCAUAAACCUAAUGUGAGUUUUUCUAUUUUGCCUUGCCCCUCGCCGUGAUCGAAUAAGAAUGGAUAAGAGGCUCAUGGGAUUGAUGUGAGGGGGUAAGGAUGACUAUAUUUCUGGGAGAGAACUCCAGGUGAAUAUGAAGCGCAUAGAUACAAGUUAUGCCUUGGAGUGAAAGACAAUUCUGAACCGGCUUUGUCUACGAACAAGAAAGCUAUAAGUAAUGCAACUAUCCUUUUAUAUCAAUAUAUUUUGUAGGCAAACUUAAAUUUCGUGUUGGACUAAAAUAUUUGUAGGCUAAUUACGGGCCCGACCGAUCAAAAUAUUUUUGCAUCACCUACAUCGGUGCUCCCAACCCCAUCAAGUUUAAACCUACAUCCCCUUUGUGCACAAGACAAAGUUCCAAGCUUAAUCAUUCAAUCAUCUUUUAAGAGGGUUCCCAUAUAUAAACACAUCUCAUACUUGAUAUUUAACCAAUGUGGGAUCUAAGCUUUUCUUUUCCUCAACAAAUAUUCCUAAGUAGCUUACUUUGAGCAUCAAUUUCUCAUUCAUCAUUCAACCAUUUUGAGCAUAUGAUAUAUCAUUGUAAAGGUCACAUGGAGUAGAAUAAGAAACUAUAAUUUUAUGAUUCAACUCUCCACCUUUAUCUAUUGAGAAUAUGCCUCAAAGUUCCCAAAAAAAAUGUAAUUUUUUCAACAGUUAUUUUGGCCUUUCAGAAUAGCCACCAAUUUUUUUUAAAAUGCUUCAAACUAAAAACAUUAUUCUAACCAUAAUUUCAACAAUAGGAUACUGCUAUAGUAACAAAAUUAUUUUUUUCUAGAAACAUAAACAUCAUAAAAGAAGAAACUUAGGCUGAUGUUGAGUUUGAUUGAUUUGAAAGGAUUUAGGGUUCAAUUUUUGUGGAGGGAAAGGAUGAGGAAGAAUAUAUAUAGCAAUCAAGUGGUGGCCAACUGUGGAAUGAGGAUUGUCUGUUGUUUUACAUUCAAAUUGCAUGUGCAGGGAAAAACUAAUUAGAAAAUUGGAAAGAGAGAUAGAGGAGAUUACUCCUAAAGUUCAAGAAUCCAAGUUGUUUCUAGACUCGAAGAAGUUUGAUCGAAUUUUCCUUGAAAAUCAACUUGAAAGAAAUUGCUUGGAAUUGCUUUCUUGAUCUGAAAAAAAACUGAAGAUUGAAUGUAAAUAAGUCAAGAAAAACAAACCAAGUAAUAAAAUAACCAAAAACUGAAAUAAGUGAUGAGUUAUGGCAGUGGUUGAUCCUGAGACUAAGUUUUGGGGGUUUAAUAAAAUUUUCAAAAAUUUUAGAAGUUCAAUCAGUUUUUUUUAAAAAAAAUGGGGGGUCUAAUUGAAAUUUUUAAAUUUUUUGUGAGAUUAAUAAGAAUUUUUAAAAAUUUGAGACCUAAUUAAAAUUUCCAAAACUUUAAGAGAAAAAAAUUAAAAUUUCCAAAAAUUUUGGGGCCUAAUUAAAAUUUUAAAAAAAUUCAAGGGAAAAAUCAAAAUUUCCCAAAAUUUUGGAGGGACUAAGGUCCCUUAGGCCACCAUAAGGAUCUGCCUCUAAGUUAGGGAAAGAUGAAACUGAUUGAGAUGGAUAAAUGGAUAAGAUGUCCAAUGGGGCCAUUCGAGAUAAAAUUAUCCUAACAAACUCAAUUAUUGGCUCUAAUUAUUGACAAAUUGAAGUUUUAAGAACUUUCUCCAAAAUCUUGAAUAAAAUUAAGUAAAAUUUUUUUUUGAAAAUAAACAAGAAUUGAAUAUUUCAAAAGAAUAACUCCAUCGAGUACUUGUCUUAAUUUCAAAGAAAGAUUUAAUUUAUAAUGAAUGAAUGCCUUUAUAUAGACUACAUAAAUUGGCAAAACAAGACGUAGUUUUAGUUGAACUAAAAUUUCUUGUCAAGUAGAAAACAUAAAAACUUCUAAACAACUUAAAAGACUUAAAAAUCUCUUAAAAUUCGAAAUAAAUAAAUACUUAAAACAUAAAACUUAAUAAAUACAAUAUUGAUAUUAUAUAUAAUCAAAAUUAAACAUUAAAAGUAAGCCCAAUAUGGAUUAAACACGAAUCUAAAGUCCAAUAAUUGAGUUUUUAAAAUAGUCAAUUUAAAGCAUUUGAUUAUUUUAGAAGAAAACUUUGUUAAUUACCAAUUUAUUUAUUACUCAAAAUUUUAAUUAUAAUUAGCAGCGGAAAAGUGAUAUUUACUAUGUUUUUAAUAAAAAUCGGAGUUCAUGCCUAACUAAUUAAUAUUCAUAAGUUGAUAUCCUAAAUCAAAUUAAAUGUAGUGCAAGCUAUAUAAAAAAAAAUCCCAAAUCCUAUGUCCCAUGCCACAGUUCAAAACAAAAUUAUAUAGUCUCUAAAUAAUAAAAAUAUCAAUUAAUGGAUCUAAAACAUUUUAAUAAAUAAAACCGAGCCAAGACCCUCUGGAUGCCUUGUUCAUGUCCUAAUCUGGUGGGUUAUCUGUAGAGAUGGAAAUAAAAAGGGGUGAGCUAUGAAGCUCAGUACGAGUCCUAUCACAAGUGAACUAGUGCAGAACAAUAACUAAGCAUACAAUUUAACAGUUAUCAUCACAUUAACAUUCAUAUAGGAUAAUAGUAUUUAAACAAUUCACUCAGCAUGCUUUAAGAAUGUCAAUACAAAUGCGAUUUCAAUUUAACGGGAAUAAUCCUACCCAUACUCCACUACACUCCUCAGUAAGAGUUCCCUAGAACUCUUCCAGCCGUAACACUCCAGUUUGUGGCUGAGCCACCAAGGUUGCAGGUUAAUAUACUGCUAGUAGUUGUGAUUACACAACGAGUUUGCAGAUAAAAGAUGCUAGAUGAAUUAUGGAUACCACCAGUGUUUGCAAGUUAAUACGCUGCCAGUACUUGUGAAUACACAACUUAGUUGCAGAUUAAAGCUACUGGUAUAAAUUGUGGAUAAACCACCAGUGUUUGCAAAUUAUUAAACUGUCAGUACUUCCACCAUACAAUCGUCCCACCCCAUGCAAUACAGUAUGUCAUGCUUGCAAUAGUAUAAUGUAAAACAAUAAACAUGCUCAUCAUGUUUCUAGUUCAUAAGCAUGCUCAUCAUGUUUCUAGUUCAUCAGUAGCAUUAGUCAUGUUUAUCAUGUAUUCAGUUUAGCAAUAGCAAUAAGCGUGUUGAUCAUGUAAUCGGUGUAUAGUAGUACAAGUAACAAUAACAAUUCAUCAGUUAUUUAGUCACAGUAGGCAUGUAAUAGUCCUAAAUCAUGCAUAUACAAUAGUAAUUUAGCCAAUUAAAUCAUAGAUUCCAACAUUAUUCAUAAUACCAGGGACUCAAUUAAAUGAAAUAAAUCACUAAAACAAAUUGGGGAUCAUGCAAAGUCUAAAUUGAACAGUUUACGAAAAUUCUGGGCAAAAUUUUAAAACAGGGGCAUACGCCCGUGUGGUUAGGCCGUGUGCAAUACCUUAAGUCGUGUGGAGGGGUUACACGGUCGUGUAGCUAGGCUAUGGCCGUGUGGGACAUGCAAAAUUAGGCUUUAAGGGAGACACGACCGUGUGGGAGGUUGUCUGGAGGGUCAUAGGCCAUGUAAUAAUCGAAUAUCCUAGGGUUUCAAGAGAAACAUGGUCGUGUAAGGGAGUCAUGUGGUCCAUACUGUGGCCCUAUUUUGAGGCACGAUUUGUCCCAAUUAGCUCUAAAAAGAACACUUAAAAGGAAAAAAAAAACUUAAAACGAAAAAAUAUGAAGACCAAUUAACUAAAAUUUUUGUUUGAAAUGAUGAUUUAACGUGCCAUGUCAGCUUAACAUUACACCGUUAACAAUAAUUAACGGCUCAGUGACUAAAAUGUAAUUUAAAAAAAUAAAAGUGACUGUUUUGAUAGUUUACCCUUAUUUAAAUGAUAUUGGGAUAUUUUUAGAAAAAAAAUGGAAUAGUACCUUAAAAAAGAAAA
RNAcentral lists this long non-coding RNA (49374 nucleotides) under Gossypium raimondii (Peruvian cotton). RNAcentral's name for it is "long non-coding RNA (GRAI_LNC006067)". The stretch from base 4609 to 4753 matches the Rfam family "MIR7502 microRNA precursor family". Lineage: Eukaryota; Viridiplantae; Streptophyta; Magnoliopsida; Malvales; Malvaceae. The record is from RNAcentral.